UUUUUCAAACUAUCACACGAGUCUACCUCAACUGAGUUUAGAUUUGGGCACUCAAAACAAUUCAACUGAGUGGUAGCUGAUGUGUCAUAUACCAUUUGUAGUGCUUGACAUUUGGAUAUCUUGAGAUGCUUGAGUUGCCUGAGACAUUUAACCAUAGAACUUGAAAACAAGAAUCUUAAACUAUCACAUUGAUGCACAGUCAAGCUUAUUAAGUUCGGCAUCAAAACCUGCAUGGUACAGAACAAAAUUCAUAUUUAUUUUAGAAAAUUACAGUUUACAUGGUUGUAACCGUAAAUGUUCCAAAUGUGCAAACAUAAAGUAAAGGUAAUGGUCAUAUAUUAAAAAAGUAAGCUACUAGGCUACUAGACAGCUGUAAGUCUUUCUACUUUCAUUACUUAGCAGAGAACAAAUUGAAGUGUAAUAAAACUAUCUGAAAAAUGAAAUAUGGGGCCAAAAUUGGAAUGCCAGGAUCCUCUUUGUGAGAAUUUCAAGAAUCUUUCAAUUGUGUUCACUCAUCGUACAUCGUACGGUCAGAAAUCAUUAUAAAUUUUUUUAUUUAAAAUUGAAAAUAAACCGUACCUAACAAAAAUUUGUCACAUGAGGUACGAUUAACGAGCACAAUUAGAGAAUCUCCAGUAAUUCGGAAAUGAUCCUUAUUCCCAAAAUUGUGUCAAUUUAAUUCCAAAUUUGAACUAUUUUAUUUAAAUUGAUACCAAAAACACAUUAUUGUGAAACUUUGGUGGUAGGUGGUGGUCUCUACUGUGAUAGGGCCGAGUUCAAAUUUUCUGUACUUAAAAUGGGUUUAGCUUCUCUAUGACAUGUCUCAUUACCUGACACCUGGCCACAAACUUGACCUAACUUAACCAUGUCAACUACCAAUAAAAUUAAAUAAAAAUAAAAACAAAAGUAAGGAAAAAGAAGCCGGUCAUCGUCCAUCUCCCUCUCUUCCCCAAGAUCAAUUGCAUCUCCUUCGCACUUUAAAUCCAUAAAAUCCAAAUUUGGGAAGAUUGAAGAAUAAAUCCCUUGGGCUGUCAGAUUUGUGAAUGUAAGCGCCUCCCCUGAAAUUUCUUUUGGGCUGUCAGAUUCGUUGAAUUUACACCCUUGUCGAUCGAGAAGGAACUCGACGUCACCAUCGACGAUCUCCUAUUGCAAAUCCUUGGGGUCCUUGCCGUUGACCGUGCAGCCCACAAAAACGCAGGUUCCGAGAAUCUCCUUCACCGUUCCCGUAAGCUCCUUAGGCCAUGGAUCUGUUCUCAUAACCUUGGCGAUCUCGAUGACGUCAUCAAGGGAGAUGCUGCAGCUGUGGUUGAAGAGGUGGUGGUCCGUGAGGGAGGGGGCGGUGAUUGGUGGCGUUGGGAAGGAAGGGGAAUGGGAGAGGUACACAGUACGCUGGGCUACGCUCUGAUUUAUUUUAUUUUAUUUUAUUUUAUUUUAUUUUAUUUUAUUUGAACUUGUUAGUUGAAUCAAUGCCUAGGAAGAAAAAAAUCUUAAUAUCAAAACCUGAUAACUUAAUAUGUCAUUUAAAUGGUUUUGGCUUAUUGAAAAAAAUAAAUAAAUCUUAAACAUUUGUAUUUUUUUUCUUAUUGAAAGAAAAAAAAAUUAUUUGGUCGAAAUUGGAAGAAGAAAAGUAUUUGGAGAAAGAAUCAUGCAACCAUUUUGCUAGAAAAAUAACAGAGAAAGUACCUCCUCAUUAUUGAAAAGUCUCGGUGGUCCACCAGCUUCAUCCUCCAACACGAUUUCGUCGGCAUUUGUAUCAUUCGUUAAUUGCUUGCCCUUGGAAGAGAAACCAAUAAGCUUUGGUAGAUUCUGCAGUGUCAAAGAUUUUAACUUUUGGAAAGGGUUGCCUAUGAGUUGUCCAUAACAUACACUUUUCAAACUCACAAUGUUUUUAAGAGAUAGAGAUUCCAGAUUGAGGAAGGCAUUUUGAGAAUAACUCCAACUGACGGAGUUAAUAACAUAUGUGACUUCGUCGUUGUUUUGGACGUGGAGAUGCGUCAGGUGAUUAACAGCUUCACUGUCAAAUAGAUAGGAAAUAAUAUUCACUAUCUCCACCCCAUCCAAGUACAAUUGCUCACUUCUCUUUACCAGCAACUUUAUACCUCGAUCGAACUGAUUACUCCCGGUGAGCUUGAGUUUUAGCAUGUUAGAGGAGGUUGCAAGGAUGUUAGGAUACUCCCAACAAUCACCGACAAGUAUGGUGUAUCUUUCUAACUUAUCGGAGAACAAGUUGGUUGGAAGAAGGUUAGCAUCUGGAAUGUGUACGUCCAAUGCGGAUAGAUGAGAUAAGUGCUUCAGCUCUGAAACGCUGGCAUUACUUCUGCCGUCGACCAAACCUUCACCCUCCCAUUGCUUGAAGCUUUUUAUUCCCAUCCUCAAGUCUUCUAGUCUUGUCAAGCACGAUAUAGCAUCAGGUGGGAUCAGAACAAGUUUAGAGCAACAGGUCAAAUCCAAUAAUUGUAGGCUAGUCAAUUGCCUUAUUUCUUUGGGCAAUUCUUUAACCUCGGACUGUAAGAGGCUAAGGAUUUUCAAGUUUGUUAGCUGUCCAACAAGAGCUAUGUCUUCCAACUCGCAAUGAUCUAGACACAAUGUGUGGAGAUACUUUAGGGAUAGAAGAGACGGAGGUAGCGACGGAAUACGGAUUCCGCUGACAUCCAACACUUUGAGUUCUUUCAUCCCUUCAAAAAAUUUGCUUGGGAUUUCCUGGGAGUUGCCCAUAUAAUUAUCGGACAAGAUUAACAAUUUUAAUUCUGGGCAUUCCCAAGGUACUUCAGGAAGCCUGGGGAUCUUGCAACCUAUUAAGGACAUCCUUGUACAUUUUUCAAGGAAAUCCUCAGCGGGCCAUUCUUUAACCUCAUCUCCAUCUGCUUUUGAAAAGGCCUUUUGAUCAUCAGAUGCGAUCCGGAAAGCAACAUCUCGUACAAGCUCAUGCAUUCUAACAGUCCUAUCAUCAUCACUGUCCAGCAAUAGGCAAGAAUGUUUUAGUUUUUUAACCAUUCUAUUCAAUGAAAUCCGUGCCUCUUCCACUGUCUCAACACUUCCAACCAAACCCAAACCCAUAGCACAGUGCAACAAAUAAAAGACAUAAAUGGUGCUACCCCCAUUUGCAAGAAUUCCGCAAAGCAAGAACAAUUGCUGAAGCUCUUGAUCUUCCAAUCGUUUGUAACUCCACUUUAGAGCCAAGAAUGCUUUUUCAUGCAAUUCUUCCUCGGCAAAUCUUUUGAAGCUUUUCAACGCAUCUUUCCAUUCCUGCAAACUACUAUCCUUUAAAGCACUUGCAACUGCAACAACCAAAACCGGCAAACCUCCACAUUUCUUUGCUAGUUGGGUUGCUUCUUUCAGUAUACGGUUGUCUUUAACGACAUUACCUGCCACCUUCUCAAACAAACUCCAACUUUCUUUUUCUGUUAAAAAUCCAAGUGGAAAUUCUUUUUGCGUACGCAUAUCAGAUAAUAAAACUGUACUAUCUCUAGAUGUCAACAAUAACUUACAAUUCGGCACACCAACAAGUCCCAUGGCCUCAAAGUCAAUUCUUUCCAAAACAUCAUCGAAAAUGACAAGAGUCUGCUCCUCUUUUAUCCUGGCUCGUAGGAGAUUCGCCUUUUUUCCCAUAUCCUCAGAUUCAUCGUCCAUCCCCAACCUUUCGGUAAUUUCCCUUUGAAUUUUUUUGUCUUCUUUUUCUUUGACAUUUAUUAUUAUAACCACAUUACCAAAUAACUUCUCUUUCACAGCUUCUCUGUAAACCUCUUUGGCAAGUGUUGUCUUCCCAACGCCCCCUAAUCCGUACACCCCAAUCCUGUUGAUAUCAGGGUUUUUCAGUUCCGUAAUGAUAGCCUUCACCAUAGAAAUCCUUGAUUCAAAGGCCAUGUAGUCGUGGGAGGCUAUGCCAGAUAUGUCUUCUACGGGAGCAUCGUAAAAAAGACUCUGAAACCCUUUUUUUUUAUUUUCAUGUGCUUCAAUCUUUUCCAUCAGUUUUGUUGACUUCCUGCUACGCUGAUGAUAGUAUAUCAGAUUAGGACAUAUAAUGAGACACUUUGUCUUUGCACGGCCUUCAUCAUGCAAGAGUGCUUCUGCCUUCAGAGUGGUCUUCUCUGCAUCUGACUGCCAUUUCUCGACAUCAGCUUCCAGUUUUUUAUCAACUUUUCUUCGGACUUCAUCAACGUCAUGCUUCAUCCUUUGUUUGACAGAAUCAAAAUUCUCCAAUUUACUCCUUAGAUCUUCAAGGUUGCUUUUGUAGGAAAUGAUAUAACCCACUUGGCGUGCAACUGGUCUAAUUGUGUAGUCAAUUAUUGUAGGAAUAAUUGCAUUGAGUAUCUCCAUCGCCAUGGCACCUUCAGCUUACCAAUUCGUCUGCUUCUCUGAUCUGUUGAAUAUAUACGAAUCCACAAUGAAAAAAAUUCAAGAUACGAGAAAGGAAUCCUUUAUUUUUAAGCAGAUGAAAUUAAAAAAAAUGAAACAAUAGGUCAUACCUUAGCUCUUGAUCAAGACUAGGCUUGAAGAAAAACAGAGCAGUAUGCAAAUCUUUUGGUUUUCUUUUGGGUUUGGAGAAAUCUGCAUAGUAAAAGCAAAAAGAAGGUUAUACCACACUUGCAAAGUAGAAGUCGAGACCAUGAACAAGUUUUCACAUACAAUUAUUAUACUAAAAAAAUUUGCUUGGUACGGAAUUUAGGCAACUGUUUUCAAAUCCUAAAAACUAUGAAAAACAUAUAUAAUCUGCUUUGAAUUUCAGUGAAACAUUUUGACAAACACCGUAUCAGCACACUUAAUUUAAAGCCGGUGCAUGAGGCAGAGAUCGAAAUGUAGAACGAUUUGCUCGUUGAAGACCACCAAGGCUCGUUAAACACUGUAUCACGGAGCUACUGAGCUAUAUGGUACUACGGAGUUGACCCCCGAUUCUCGCAAGCUGACCGAGUUAACUCUGCCAAGGCUCGACGAGUUCUGGAGGCUCAUGAUGAGCUCUAGUUUACGAGAGAAAUCUGAGGCCAUCAACUGCGAAAUCCAGGCAGUCAUGAGCUCGAGCAACGUAAGGUCAGGAACAGAGACAACCUCCCUCUCUCUGAAAGGUCGAGCAGAGAGAGGAGGCUGCCAAUUGUCUGAUUUUCUUCAUUUUAAGAGAAUUUAUUUUAUUUUAUUUUAUUUACAAGUAUGAUAAAUGGCUGCCAUGGUGGUUGUGUUGUGCCUUGGUUGUUCGUCAGUGUGGAAGUGAGAUUCAGAUUGUCUCACCAAACUACAGACCCACAGUUGAACAGUUUAAAUUACAAGAAAUAAAUACCCUGAGAAAUUUACGAGGUUCGGCAAAAAUCUGCCUACGUCCUCCAAGAGAUAUUGCCCUUCACUAUGAGAAUAACUAGUAAAAGAUACACUUGAGUUUAAUCAACAUAACUCAAACCCCAAUCCCUUGUACCCUCACAGAAUUUUACUAAGAGUCCCACUCUCCCCAAGAGUUUCUCACUCUCACUCUAUAUUUUCUCUCCUUUGUGUUCUCCUUUGGAUGCUCUCUCAAUGCAUUUCUAAAUGCACAAAUAUUGCAUCUAGUUAUAGGCAUACACUAGCAACUAUGCCAACAAACAAGACUAAAAAGUCUUAAGUUCACAUGACAUAAUUAUCACCUAGCCUACCUAGCAUGCAUCAAAGUCUAUACCUAGUCUAUAAAGUACAACUUUUCUCCAUUUGUCAUUUAAUGCAUAUAAAAUAAAACAUGCACAAUAAAACUUGCACAAUUGUGUGCAAGCAACCACAAAGUCAAGUCUUGCUUCCAACUUUGCUUGUGGUAGUCACCAUGUCUUCUCUUGAAACAAGACAUCCAUGCCACAACCGAAAGCCAAACACAAAGUGGCUACUGCCAUUUCCCUGUAGCACUCAGAAAGUUACACUAUCAAAAUUGUUGCCAACUCAUAAGUAUAUGAGCCAAACACAACAGAUUGGUCCUAGAAGAGGAAGGUGGAGGAAAAAUGGUGAAAAAGUUGCAGGGAGGAAGAAAGGAGGUGUUUGGUUGUGUGUUAUUUCUUAUAAUAGCAGGCGUCUUAAACUUAGUGGACCACAUAAGCAAGUCGUAUUGGGUACUCAAAAGACAAAUACAAGUUUACAUUUUUAUCAUUAGAUAAUGUAUAUGUUUGUUUAAUUUAAUACAAUGAUUUUUUUUUUAAAGGAAAAUAUUAAAAACGUAUCUAGUAUUCAGAUACAUAGAUAAUGUCAAAAGCUAAUAAUUUUGUGCUAGAUAGUAAUAUCUUUGUAAUGUAUAAAAUAAUGGUAGUGUUGCUGGAGAUGGUGAUUAUGGCAAGAGUUGUGCUAGAAGCAAUGGUGGUUAGGUUGGUGGUAUUAGUAAUGGGGAAACGCCCAUUGAAUAGUGACAAUAGUGGAGUGGAAAAAGGGCAAUGGUAGACUGGUAGUAGGAAUGGUGGUGACGGCCGGCGAUCGUGGCAGAAGGUGGUUGUGGUUACAAUGCUACAGAGGGGCGGUAUAGGUGACGUUGAUUGAGAGGUGGUGACGGUGAUGAUGGUGAAGAUGGUAGAGGUUGUGCUGGUCAUGGUGGCAGAGGUGAUGACAUGGAGAUAGUGGCGAUGGUGGUAGUAGUGAUAAUGACGACAAUGGUAGUGGGAGGUGGUAGUGGUAAAGAUGGCAUCGAUACUGGAGGAGAGGGUUGAGGUAAUGGUGAGGGUAGUGGCGGUUAUGAUUGUUGGAGUUGUACUUCAAAAAUCUAAUAUCACAGUAUUAGAUAUUUAUAUAACAAUUCCAUUAUAAUGCUAAGAUUUCGUAUUUAGAAAAUACAUUUAGUAUUAUUAUUGUACAAGAGCUAUUUUGAAUUGUUUUUAUAUUACAUUGGUUUAUAUAUAUGUAUGUUUAGGUUUGCAUUGUUUGCACCACGUGAUACCUUGUUCCAUAGGAUAGGACCGGACAUAGUUUUAUGUUAUUAGAAUCUUCAUAGCUUCCUAUCUAGUUUAGGUUAAGGUGGCAUUGUAUGAUGGUUCAAGCCAAGGUGCUUUAUCGGCACUCUCCUAAUAUAUAGAUGAGAGAUCCACUAAUAGCUAAAGACGGCAUGCAUCCAAAUGACAGUUCAUUUGCAUGGGAAAAGUAGAAAGAAGGGGAAGGCAAUCACAGGCAGAGAGAAGAAGGAGAGCAGCGAAUAAUUAAAGAAGGCAACAUUGCGGUAAUCAGCAGCAAGUAGACCAAAGCCACAAGAGAAGACAUUGUCAAAUCGAGAAAUUAAUCAAGAUAUAAUUAAUGUACAAAGUGGCGAGCAUAAAAUUGAAGAGCUUUUCUGUUUUUUAUCUUCUAAUGUUGUCAAUAAACGAACUUUAAGCCGUUGUCAGUUAGGGAGAAGAAAAUGGAAACAGAAGAGGGGAAAGAAGAGACAACUGGUCCUGAUGGACUCAGGCUUUUCCUGAACUUAGUUUUCUUAAUUUUAUUAUGCUUUUUUUUUUCCUGAACUUAGUUUUCUUAAUUUUAUUAUGCAUUUAGUGACAACUUCAAUUAUGUUUUGGAACUAAUUUAUUUUCCCUAGAGCAACGAUGUAGCCCAAUCAUGCUUGCUUAAUUCCUCAGUUAUGUUAUUUUUAAAUUUUCAGUAGUAUUAAGUUUUUUUGUUGUGGAUUUUACGCUUGAUUAUUAUCUUGUUGUUUUUAGAACAAUGAUAUAUUUAGGUACAAACAUUUCAGUACAAUAGGUUAUAGGUUAGUAUAAUAUAUUUAGGUACAGAUAUUUUAGUACACUAGUUUAGUAUAAUAUAUUUUGGUACAUAUAUUUUGGUACAUUAGUUUAGUAUCAUAUCCAAUUUUCGGUACACUAAUGUUUUUGUAUAAUUUCUUAUGUGCCACUAAUUCACUACAAUAUAUUUAGGUACGAACAUUUUGGUACACUAAUUUAGUGAAAUAUAUUAAUUAGAGGAAGUUAAAUAAAAUUUGUUGAUGCACAAAACCGAAGGUCUUGUAACAAUGUAAAUCCGACCAUGAAUCUAUAAGAAAUGUAAAGAACACAAGAUGUAUUGUGGUUCAUCCCAAUGUUUGGGCUACAUCCACACUGAUAUUGUAUUUCUCUCUAACUGUAUGUAUGAAUUACAAGGGUGAAGGGGAGUCCUCCAGAGAAAGAGAGAGUUUGAGAGAGCUCUCUAUUUGUUAGGAUGAGAGCUUUGUAAUGUGAGAGUGAAAGGGGAUGUGAGGCUUAAGGUUUGUGAGGGUAAGGAGGCACUUUUAUAGACUAAGGGCUCCUCCCCUUUUUACAUAUUUGCUCCUUCAUUUAUUACAUAAUUACAUUUAAGUCCCGAGUAUUUAUACGAGAUCUAAAUACGGAGGCCCUAAGUAUGGUACAAACAAAAUUAAUGAAUUAAAAUGUGUAUAAUAACAAAUUUAAAUACAUUACAUACUGGCACAUAGUACUACGGUCUAGUGGUAUUCCUCUUCACUUGUAAGUAAAAAGUUUUAGGUUCGAUUCUCGCUAAAGACGAAUUUAAACCACAUUAUUGUUAGCCCAUUGUGAGGCUAGCCCCUCCCCCACCCUCUUAGUGUAGAUAAUAUCGUUGGUUAAAAAAUAUAUAUAUAUACAUAUAUAUAUAUAUAUAUUAAAUAUUAAAUAAAAAUAUAAGAUGAAUUUGAAUUAAGUACACAUUAAAGGACUAAAAUCAAUAUAUAAUCUAACACCAAAUUUUUAUUAAAUUUUAAUCUUCUUCGAGGAUUAAAGUUAAAAAACCCUUGUUUUUUUAAAUCCUGUUAAAUCCUAUUUUGACAAUAACAUGAUUUCAAAUUAUUUUAAAAUUCUAUUGACCACACCUUGAUUCUAAAAUCCUUUAAAAUCUUAAUUUGAUUAUAUCCCGAAGAUUAUAUUAUUAGAGCAUUGGGACUUUCACCACCACCUUUGAGUACUCAUUUAAGAACUUAAAAGGAAUCUUUGUGUCCUUAAAGGAAUAUUGCCUUCAAUGGAAGAGUCAUUAUUGUAGAAUCCCAAAAUUUGAAGUUUUUAUGAUUUUAUAUGACAAUUUGAUUAGGUGCACAUUUUUUGUUUACGUUAAACAUUUUGAAUUAAUUAAAAGCUUCAAUCAAGAUUGUGGGUUCUACUCAAGAUUGUCUCCCUAUACAGUUCCUAUAUUUGGGUACGUACAUUAUAUAUCAAGUGAGUCUCUAUAUUUUAGGGACUCACUUUCUGAUUCAUUGGAAAUUCAUUUUGUCCUAUAUUUGUUUUAUACCCAUUUUAUAUAGUAUUUGUCCUUAUUUAGGGACUUCAUUGGAGAUCCUCUAAAGAGUGUAGUAAGUUUUUUUACUGUAAUUGUACAUACGAAUACAAGUAUGAUUUUUCAUUAAAUAAAAUCGAAGGGUGUCUAGAAAAAAAAGUUGAGUGUAAACAAAACAUAAUUGAGGAAUGCUAGCUACCUUGUCUUCUUACCUUUCCCUACUUGCCUUCCCCAGUCGUUAGUUGGCAUGUGAACUCCAUUACUACUUUUUUUUCUUGAACAAACAAUAGUAUCUACACUAAUAGGUGGAAGAUUUGGCUAAGCCUCAUAACAGACUAACUAUAAUAAUGUGGUUCAAAUUCACCUUUAGCGAGAAUUGAACCCAAUACCACUAGAUCGUAGUACUAAGUGACAACUCCACUACUACUUAAAGGUCAAUAUUUAAUGUGUUAAAAUAUUAAUUAUUUAGUUCCCACAUAUGCCCUCCAUUAAUACACCAAUUUUUAACUCACUCAAUACUGCUUUAAAUUUUAUAAUUUCCACCUCAGCCGUUCCUCAUUCCCAUUAGGCCAUUUCCAACCGACCUGGCCAAAGGAUUAUAGAGCUAAAAAUAGCUCGAAAUGACACAAAAAUGAUCUCCAACUGAGGGCUAGGCCAAAUGACUUGUGGAUCCCAUUGGGCCAAAACCACCAAAUUAGGCCAGCGGGUUAGCCAUUUCCAGCCCGAUGAGCCCAGCCCACUUUUUUUUUUUGGACGAAUUUUUUUCCUACACUAUUUCUCACAUGCUUUUCACCAUUUCAUACUAUCUUUCCUCAUUUUAUUUCAAUUUUUCACAUUCUAUUCUCUUCCAAUAAUAUUUCCCUUAAUGUUUUCAGUAAUUUUCAAAUGGCCACCUCUUUCUAUAAUCUUCUAAUAUGUCCGAAAAUCUUAUUUGAAUAUAGUAGUUUACUUUAAUUAACUAUAUUAAUUCAAUUAAAAUGAUAAAUUAUGUUUGGCCUAUGGCCCUUUUGGCCUUCUCGGUUGGAGAUGAUUUUUUGUCAAAUGACUAUGUUUGGCCUAUGGCCAUUUGGCCCUCUCGGUUGGAAAUAGUAUAAAAUAUGACCUGACACUAUUCAUUAAAAUAUAAUUUCUUGUAUGAUUAUAAGGCUAAACAUAAUCAUUUGGCAUUCCUUCGGUUGGAGAUGAACGUCUUCUUUUUUAUCCUAUUCAUGUAUUUUUUUUUCCUUCUAUUUUACAGGACUUCUGUUCAUGUUCUUCUACCAAAAUACUAAAAUAUUCAUUUUUUUUUGUUAUCAAAAUGUUAUGUUUAUUUCGAGCAACAAACCUUUACCACUGAACACCACCAUCAUGCCAUUCCUGGCCCUUUCCGACUCCCCGAUUUGCCCUCCUCCCAGUCCGUCGCCCCAACCUCCAUUUCCCAGUCCGGCCCCCAUCCCCUUUAUCUAUCCCUCAUCUAGUGAUCCCACCUCUGGUUUUGGAGAUGACGGAGGCAUGGAGGUGGCGACUGGUCGUCACAAUUCCUCUAAUAACGAAUCUAAUUGUUAAUUUUUGUUAUAUUGGUUUGGUUUUAGUGAUUUGGGUGGGCAGAUGAGUGUUUUCAGUAUUUUACUUGUGUGGAUUUCGUUUGGUAUUUCUGUAAUUUUGGGUUUUUUUUUCUUCUGCAAUUUGGUAGAAAGGGGUGUAGUCAAACUUGGAUUUAAGAAGAUUUUAAAAGACUUUAAAAUCCUAGUGUAGUCAAUUAAAAUAUUUUAAAGGAUAUUAGAAUCCAUUCAAAUCUAGAUGUAGUCAAUUAAAAGAUUUUAGAAUCCAUUAAAAUCUAGGUGUAGUCAAUUAAAAGAUUUUAAAGGAUUUUAGAAUCCAUCCAAAUCCAAGUGUAUUUAAAAAAUUAAGAUUUUAGAGGAUUUCAAUAAGUUGUGGAUUUUGUGGGAUUUGAAAGCAAAAAGUAUGUAUAACCAAAACUAAAAAGAACCCAACCUCACCCCUAGGAUUUCAAAUCAUUCCCCCACAAUCCACCACAAUCCAUUCAAAUUCUUUAAAAUCCAUAUAAAUUUUGUAGACGUCUUUAAUUCUCUUUAAUCCUAUCAAAUCUAUCACUUUUAAAAUCCUUUAAAAUCCUUUAAAAUCUUAGUUUGACUACACCCCCAAGAAACAAGAAUCCCCUACAAUCCACCACAAUCCAUUCAAAUUCUUUAAAAUCCAUAUGAAUUUUGUAGGAGUCUUUAAUUUUCUUUAAUCCUAUCAAAUCUAUCACUUUUAAAAUCCUUUAAAAUCCUUUAAAAUCUUAGUUUGACUACACCCCCAAGAAACAAGAAAGGGAGACCGGGAAAGGAGGGAGACUUUUGAAGUUAAACUUUUGGUAGGUUAAAAAUUGGUAGAUUAAUGAGGGAUAUCUGUGGAAAUAAAGUAAUUAGUUUUUUAUAUGAAGUUUUGUAAGUGAUAGUGGAGUUCACUUUGUCAAAAAAAAAAAUAAAAAAAAGAAGUUAUAGUGGAAUCCACACAUCACUUAGUGAAUGGGAAAGGCAAGUGGGAAAAUGUAGAAAGCAUUCCUCUUUAUUUUCUUUGGAAAAAUGCUAAGAGACUCUCCCAAAAGUAGACAUUUUCUCUUAGCAUUUCUCAUUUUCUUUAAAGAGUCCCCCUAGCAUAUCUCAUUAAUGAGGUGGCAAAAAAUCCAUAGAGAGUCAUACUUUUGAGAGUGUCCCCUAAACAUUUAUCUUUCCUUUAGAAAACUUCAACUCCAACCACACUCUCUAUCAUGUUUUUUUUUAUUUUUUUUUUAUGAAUAAAUGAUAUUAUCUACACCAACGAGAAGGGGAUAAGUUUAGUCUCAUAAUGGACUAGCAAAAAUGUGGUUCAAAUUCGCAUUUAACGAGAAUCAAACAUAAGACCCCUCUCUUACAAGUGAAGAUGAAUACCACUUUUUAGUAAAGCAGAUUUGCUAGGAAUUCUUGAAUUUAGGAAGUGAGAAAGAAGCUCUUAAGGGCUUCUAUAACGUUAAUUACUUUCUUUAAUAACUUUUUUAAAUAUAUGUUUCUAUCAGUACAUAUUUAUUAUGACUCUCUAAAUUAGAUUAAUUACUAUUCCCUUAAUAACUUUUUAAUAAAUAAAUAAAAACUUUGUUUCUAUUAGUACAUAUUUAUUAUGACUCAAUUAGAGAUUACAGUUUAGUGAAGAUUAUAGUUUAGUCGCAUCUUCAGCUCAGAGUAGGCCUUACGUAACACCUCAGGCACGAGGCAGCAAAAAACUGGACAACAUAGAGGUAGACAGCCUGGAAGAGGUUAGUAGGGAGUAGAAGCUCAGAGCAGUAGAGUUGGGAUGCCACAUAAAGGUUUUCAACAAGUUGGCAAAGAUUAUGCAUUAUCUGCUUUGAAGGGUGAGGCGAAGCCUCACACAGUCACAUGUAUUAUUCAUAUUGAUUCGCUCUUAGCUAAAAUAAUGUUUGAUCUUUGGAUCUACUCAUUGUUUCAUAUCUAGUACUUUUGCUGAGUCGUUGGGUAGAACUAUUGAGACGAUGGAGGUAGCGUACUCCAUUUUCUAUCAUUUUUCGAGGUGUUAUAUUGUUAAUUGAGUAGUUCGAUCCUAUGAGGCUCAUGUGGUAGGGUGAGAUGACAGUUGAUUUGAUGGUUCCUCCAAUGCGAGAUCUAGAUGUCAUUAUUGGCAUGGAUUACCUAUCCAUGUAUCGUGUAAAUCUUGAUUGUGUUUGAAAACUUGGUGACCUUCCGACCACUUGGCAGACUUGAGUUUCAAUUUACUGAUGUUCAUAGAGUUACUUCACCACCAGUGAUGAUAUCAGCCACCAAGUCUAGGUGACUCAUGAGACGUGGAUGUUAGGGUUAUCUAGCUUAUGUCGUCGAUUUUGAUUGACAAGAUAGUAGGAUUGAUGACAUACUAGUCGUUAAAGAAUUUCUAGAUGUGUUUACAACAGAGUUACCGAGCUUGCCUUUAGCGAGAAAGAUCGAGUUCACUAUUCACCUCGUGUCAGGGAUAUCGUCUAUUGCUAAGGCCUCGUAUCAUAUGGCACUUUUGGUGCUUAGAGAGCUUAAAGAGCAGCCGUAAGAGUUGUUGUAUAAGGGUUUGAUUCGACCAAAUGUUUCACCGUGGGAAGCUCUUAUUCUCUUUGUGAAGAAGAAAGACGAAUCUAUGUAUUUGUGCAUUGAUUAUCUUAAGUUUAACAUAAUGAUAGUGUGGAACAAGUAUGCCCUUAUCGAGGAUUAAUGAGCUGUUUGACCAGCUACAGGGUGCGUAGUACUUUAGUAAGUUGGAUUUGCGAGCUAGUUAUCAUCAAUUGAGGAUUAGAGAGAAGGACAUACCGAAUAGGUUUUCUAGACUCGCAAUGGUCACUAUGAGUUCUUGGUAUUACCAUUUGGUCUGACUAAUGCACCUGCUACGUUCAUGGAUGUGAUGAACAAGGUGUUUCGAUCGUUUAUUGAUCAUGUUGUGUGGGUGCAUCGAUGAUAUUUUAAUCGAUUCACGGAGUUUAACCAAGCAUGAAAAGCAUCUGAGACUUGUUCUGCAGGCUAUGAAAGAUUGUCAGCUGUCUACCAUGUUAAGCAAGUGAGUUUUGUCUAGACCAUGUUGGUUUUCUUGGUCAUGUGAUCUCGCAAGAUGAUCAUGGUGGAUCUUGUGAAGGUUAAGGCGGUUGUUGGUUGGAGUCGACCAACUACAGUGACUGAGAGUUGAUUUCUUACCAUUCAUAUUUUCUUUUACGAGACUGAUGGGGAAGACUACUCAUUUCAUUUGGGAUGACAAGUGUAAGGCCAACUUUGAGAAGCUAAUGAAAAGACUCGUAAAUGCACAUGUUUUUACCUUUCCUUUUAGUUUUGGGGAUUUGUAGUUUACAUUGAUGUUUCCUGUAAGGGACUAGGUUGCAUUUUGAUGCAGCAUGGUAAGGUAGUAGCCUUCGCCUCUCGCUAGUUGAAACCGCAUAAGCUUAAUUAUUCGCCCCAUGAUUUGGAGUUAGUUGUUGUGGUCUAUGCACUGAAGAUCUAAUGACAUUAUCUUUAUGGGGAGUCUUAUGAGAUUUACAUCGACCACAAGAGCCUGAAGUACAUCUUUACUCAACGGGAGAUGAAUUUGAGAUAGAGAUGUUGGCUAGAGCUGGUGAAGAACUAUGACUGUCAGAUUCUCUAUCAUCUGGGCAAGGUGAAUGUAGUUGUCGAAACCUUUAGCUGAAAAAACUUAGCCAGUGCUACAGCUUUAUUACUUUAGGUUAGUUAGUUAACAGAGGAUUUGAGGAGGAUAGAGAUUGAGACUAUUGAUCAAAGUGGUGAUCAUCUACUCGUAGCCCUUACCAUGUAACCUACGUUGAUCAAUCAAAUUGAGGCAGCUCAGAGCGAGGAUCCAAAUUUGGUUUGGAUCAUGGAUGGAGUUUGAGUAGGUACUCGCUUCGAAUUUUCCAUCUCUGAUAGUGGUGUUCUUUAUUUCUGGAUCAAACUUAGUGUUCUGAAUGUCAGAGAUCUAUUGAUGAAGGCCAUGGAUGAGGCUCAUACUUUUACUUUUUAUAUUCACCCCGAGGGCACGAAGAUAUAUCAGGGUCUUGGUGAGAGUUUCUGGUGGGGAAACAUGAAGAAAGAGAUUGCAGAGUUUGUAGCACAUUGCUUGACUUGUCAACAAGUUAAGGCAGAACAUCAGCGACCUACAUGCUUACUUCAGGACUUCCCUAUUCCCGAGUGUGAGUGAGAGCUCAUUACCAUCGAUAUCGUGAUAGGGUUACGGAGGGCUAAAGAUGAGCAUGAUUUUAUUUGAACAGAUUGAUGAAAUUCGAUCAUUUUCUCGAAGAAUAUUCUCUGGAGUGACUUGUGAGACUCUACAUGGAUGUGAUUGUGAAGUUGCAUGGACUUCCAAUGUCUAUUAUUUCUGAUUGAGAUCCUCGUUUCACUUCUCUUAUUUUAAUAGUCUUCAUAGAGUUAUGAGGACUAAGUUGAGUUUCAACAUAACUUUUCACCCUCAGACAGAUGGUCAGUCAGAGUGUACUAUUCAAACUUUGAAGGAUAUGCUUUAAGCCCGCAUCAUAGACUUGAAGGGUAAUUGGGACACACAUCUUUCGUUGAUUGAGUUGGCGUAUAAUAACAGCUUCUAGACGAGUAUUUAGAUGGCACCUUACAAGGUACUAUAUGGGAUGAGGUACAUAUUACUGCAAAGAAGGUUGCUCUGAUUCGUGCACGUUUAUUAGCAGCUCAUAGUCGACAACGGAGUUAUGCCAAUCCUUACUGAUGUGAGGUGACAUUUGAGAAUGGAAGGUAAAUUUCCUUACUGUUUCUCAUAUGAGAAGCGUCUUCAUAUUCGGGCGGGAAGCUUAGUUUGGGAUAUGUGGGAUCGUUUAAGGUCUUAGAGAAAGUUGGUAAGAUUGCCUAUUGCCUUGCAUUGCCACUAGAGUUAUCACACAUUCAUUCGGUGUUCCACGUAUCUUCACUUUGAAGGUAUCGCAGUGAUCCGUCUCAUUUCAUUUCUUAUGAGCCAAUCCAAAUUAGAGAGAACCUCACUUAUUACUAGUGACAUGUUGAGAUUCUUGAUUGAAGAGAGAAUGCUCUCUGCACCAAAGCUAUUUCUUUGGUGCGUGUCUUGUCGAACAAUCCUAGGGUGUUUGUGUCCACCUUGGAGACAGAAGACGAGAUGCGCUGGCAUUAUCCACAUUUGUUUGAUUUAAGUACAAUGAGUUUAGGGGACUAAACUCUUUUUUAAAGGGGGAAGGAUGUGAAAUCCCAUCCCAAAUUUCAUUAUUUAAAUUUUGUAUUUCAUAGUUGUUGCGACGCAUCCUUAAUUAUGGCAUAAAUUUUUUUUUUUCGAAUUUGUAAAAUGACGAAAAUGCUCCUGUUGGACUAAACGGAGUCCUACGUGCACUUUUGAGCUCAUUUGAUUUUUUGUCUCUUUUCUUAUCACAUUUUGGUAUCAUGUGUUGAUCCUAAAUGUAUCUUGGGAUCGGAGCGUGACAUUUACCCUACUGAGCUGGAAGGUCACCUCUUAUGAAUAUUUGAUAAGUGAGUCCUGAAAAAGUAGUCGACUUUCACAGAAAGUAUAGAGAAAAUUUUGCAAUGUAAUUUAAGAGAUGUUUGUUUUCUUUUUCUUUUUUAUUUUCUUUUUUAUCCACGCAUCGAGUUCGGGACUUUAAUUGUUCCGCCGAUUCUAAAUCUAAGGCGUGACAAUAAUAGUGGAUAUUAUUUAAUAACAUACAACAUGACGCCUUUUAGAUUGUCAAUAACAACUCUUUUUGUAUAUAAUAUGUUAAUAUACAAAAAAACUCAAAGUUGCCGCAACCAUAUGCAAUUAUUGCGUUGCAACUAAUACGUCAAGAUUUGGUCUCAUCUCAUUGCACUAAAAAAUAGUACUGUAAGAAAAACAAUGUUUGACAAAAAAGAAAAGAAAAAGAAAAACAAUGAGAAAUGAUAAUCACAUUUAAGAAAAUCAUAGAUGGAUCGCCUUAGGCCUACGACAUGAUAGCCUAAAUCAAUGUGACAGAGUAUUGAUUUGAGAGAAAGAUUGUAUUGUAUUGUAAUUUAACUAAAUAAAUUUUGAUAAUAAUAACAUACUACUUGGUAUCAUUCGUGACUUGUGAGAAUUAGAGUUUAUUUUAAUUUACUAAUCUUUGAAGAAAAAGGUAUUACUCACUGCCUUGCUAAUUAAAAUAUUAUAGAUCAUACACCCGUUUGAGAAAUAGAUUGAAGAAAUUAACAAGGAUAGUUAAGAUCAAUAUUUUUUAUUUGUUGGAAUAGUUAAGAUCAAUUAAAAUAGUUAAUUCAUUAAAUGAAGAGAUUGAAAUAAAAGUCGAUUAAUCCUACAAAGUACAAACAUUGGGAAUUCAUUUGGGUUUGAAAUUAGUCACGGAUUUCAAAGUUCAUUGGGCCUAGACCAAAUUGGGGCCCAUGGAUUUAAGUUGUGAGACAACAUAAAUCCAUAAAGUCCAAAAGAGGCUGAAUGAAACUCUCUUAGCCGGUUAAAGAGGGAGGAGACAUCGUUAAGUCCGCUGCUAUAGCAUCUAAAAUGGGCUAUUUAAAUAAGGUCCCAACUUAAAAUUUAGGAAGAAUAUAGAAAAGAGAAAUUUUGUUUACACCCAACUUUUGUUUAUGGACAAGCACAUUCACGAAAAUUUAAAUUCCAACUAUGUUUGAACGAGGGAAAUAAACUUGAAAUUUGAGUAAAAAUCAAAAUUUAUAAAUUGACAUGCACUAAUUUCCUUGUUUGAAUUUAUAAACAUAUAAAUUUACAAUUUUCGUGUGAAAAAAAAAAAAACUUGGAAUUUGGGAUCUCCAAUUCCCAAAUUUGAAUUAUACGUAAAUAUGCGUAAUUUCUCAAUUUCUAUGAUUGAGAGUUUCAAACUAACAAAUUCCGUAUUUAAUUCCAUUGUUCUUUUAUGUUAAUCAAACAAGAAAAUUCACAAAUUUUAGAAAACAAAAUCCCGUAAUUUUAAUUUCAGUCAUUUUAAAAUUUCGUAGUAAUCUUAGAUUUCUUCAUCUAAACAUAAUGUUAGAUGUUUACUUUUCCAAACGUAGUGUUAGAUGUUUACUUUUCCGUUGCUAAGAAAAAUGUAAAAAUAUAAUUAAAAAAGUUGUACUUGAUGACAUAUUUCUUUGUAUACAAACCCUAGUGGCUCUUCAAUUUGGGUGUCAAAGAAAUUAAGAUUAUGUUAAAGAGUCUAGUAAGUCCUUUAUAGUAAUUUUACAUAUGAGCAUAAGUAUUAUUUUACAUUUGGGAACUUUAACGAAAAGCUCCCGGUGUUGUUCACUUUAACGAAAAAUUACAUUUUUACACUAAAAAGUCAAUCCUGGUACUAUUCACUUUACUCUUUAUUUUGUUUUUAUCGUUAAAACUCAAAGUUUUCAAGCCAUUUUCAUUAAUUUUCCUUAAAUAAAAUUGAAAGGUAUCUAAAGACAAAAGUUUAGUGCAAACAUAAUUUCCCUUUAAAAAAUUCCAACGCCAAUCACACUCCCUAUCAUAUUUAUAGGAUUGCAAAAUGGCUAGGAGCUCCUAAAUUUAAGAAGUGAGAAAGAAGCUUUUAAGGGUACAUAUUUAUUAUGACUCCCUAAAUUAGAGACUAUUGUUAUAUUAGAAAUUUUUUAUGGAGCUCCUAAAAUGGCUUUGUAACCUUUUUAGCUAAAAUUUAACUAAAAAUAGAGUACGAACCUAAUUCUAGGAUUGUUUUCCCAGAUUCAAAUGCUUGAUCGGAAAAACCGUAAUUGAUCGCCAUUCCAUUUUGUGAACAGUGGCAAUCCGAUAGUUGAAUUGUCAUGAAUUUUAAAUAUAUUAUUGUUGGUGCUAUAUGUGACUUGUAAAAACUUACGUUCAUGUACCUGAAGUUCGUAGACUUUAGAUCAAAGAUUUUAGGGUUUAGGACCCUAAAGGUGCCGCUUUGACCAAAGGGUUGACUUUCGUAUUAGCGAUUCUCAUAGCAUCAUAGUGUGUCAUUGCCAACGUGUACGACUCAGAUUUGAUAGUUGAUGGACUUGAAUCUCAGCAUAACUAGUAAAGCAAUAAUCUGGGUUAAACAAAACGGACAAAAUCCACACAAAAAAACUAAAAAACCCAUAAAGAGCAGAGGAAUGAAAUAAAAACAAGGAAAAAAAAAAAAUCAAAACACGUACCUUAUACCUUAUCUCUCCAGACUCCUUUGCCUACAGAAAGCCGAAGUACAAUCGGUCCGUAAAUGAAGCUGAACAUAGUAUGUAUGCCAUUUUUUUUCCUUUUAAAGUAAAACUGAUCGACCGGAAGUUGAAAUUGGCAGAAAAUGAAAUCAAGAGACACAGAAAAACAACGAAAUUGAAAGAAUGUAAUAUUUUUUUUGUUCUUCUGGGUUUACAGAAUUGAUUUUUCACUUUUAGAAGUAAAGCAAAGUAGAUUAAGCAAAAGAAGGUUGCUGUGAUGAAAAAACAAAACCAGACAAGUGUGUGCAAUAAGAAGAUGGAGCAAAUAAUGAGAAGGGGGAUGGGAAGAACAACUCUCUUAGCACAAGAAGAGGAGAUAAUGAAUGCAUGAGUGAGACAAUAGAGAAACUCUCACGUAGUAUGUAAUUACCCUUACAAAAGACUUAAGCGACGACCUACCUAUGACGGCAAUUAAUUUUCAUGGCAAUUAUUUAGCACUUUGGUGUGGGAGUCAACACCAACAAAUUAACAAUAUUUAUUGUAUUAUAACAUCAAUGGGGUGAAUGUUCUCCAUGAAGAAAACCUCACAAUAAGACUAUAGAGGUGCUAAAGACACUAAGUAAAUAAUUUAACCUUUUUUUUUCUUUUUAAAUUAUUAUUAUUUAGGAAAGGGGGAGGAUUCAAAACUAUUACAAUAAUUUAGAGGUGGAGAGUUUCGAACUCUAAAUGCAUGGGUGGAAACCUGAUGCUCUGUCGACUAGGAUUUUAAACCACAUACAAAUACAAUAUUUUAGCUUCCUAAACAUUUUUUUAAACUCUUAAACUCUAUACUGCUAAAAUUUAACACCUCAGUUUUACUAGAUGUCCAAAAAUUGUUUACCGAACACAAAAUGGGUGUCCAAAAUCACUCCUCAAACUAAUUAAAAUCUUCCAAUUACAUCUCCAACAUUGGAUGCGAAGCUAUUCUAUUCAAAUUUUCUUCAAUUUAAGUUACGUUAUUUGUAUAUGAUACACUUGGUCAAUUUUUUGUCAAUUCAUCUUGUUUUACCAGAAAAUUAGUUUAGAGACCUAAUUUUUAUUCAAAUGUUAACUCAAGGAUUAAGUUAACAAUUUAUCCUACCAAAAAUAAAACUUGAAGUAUAAUUCAAAGACUAUUACUAUAGUUAAGCCUUUGUAAUUUUUACCAAUAUUUGUCUAAAUUUAGACUGGAAAUACAUGCACCGGUUCCUCGAUAGAAAUUAAAGCUGGGUUGGAGGUUUCUCUGCUAAUUUGAGUAUUUGAUCCACAAAUUGAAGUUUUUCUCUAAUAUGGCUUGGAAGAAUAAAAGUUGACUGUUUUCAUUUGUGCUAUCAAACUCAAUCGUACAAUCUGAAUCCACGAGUUAAGGAGAACCACACCUUUAUCUCCUCCUGCCUAACAAUUUAAUGUUGGUUGUUAGAAAUUUAAUGUUGGUUGUUGGUUGUUACUAGUAAUUUAAUGUCGGUUGUUAGUAAUUUAAUUGAUAUGGGGCCAUUGACCCCAUUGACUCUUCCAUCAUCACACACGCUACCGUCAUUGAAACAUUUGAAAUUGAAUCACCAUAACACCGAAAGGGGUUCCCUUCGGGUUUUCUUUACGAGGAUUUUAGAAUCUUCUAAUUAUAUUCGUUUAUUGUAAAUCGUAUAGUCAGUUUUCAUUACAUAUGAUUUAUAUUUAAUUUUAAAUAAAAAAUAUUAUAAUGAUUUCUGACCGUACGAUAUUACAAUAAACGGAUGUGAUUAGAGGAUUUCCAGAAUCCUCACAAAGAGGAUCUAGGAUCCUCAUUCAUAACACCCAUUUGUUCACAUGUAAGUCCUUCCUAAUAUUCAACCUUACAGAAAAGAAUUUGAAAUCUAACAUUAUAAAAUAGAGAACUUUAACGAAAAACUCCCGGUACUGUUCACUUUAACGAAAAAUCACAUUUUUACACUAAAAAGUCAAUCAUGGUACUAUUCAUUUUACCCUUUAUUUUGUCAUUAUCAUUAAAACUCAAAGUUUUCAAGCCCUUUUCAUUAGUUUUCCUUAUAAAAUAAGGAUGUUUUUUCUGCACCAAAUUAUCUUAGAUUGAACUAGUUUCAGAGACAAGAACUAGGCUUAGCUUAAACUAAGUUGAAUAAAAAUAGUGAAGCAUUUAGUAUAGUGUCAAACUAAGUCGCAAACUGAAAUAUUUUAGACUAAAUAUUUUUGUUCAGGACAACAGAAAAUUAAGAAACAAAUGUAACACCCGGUUGUCCCACCAUCUAGCAAAACCAUUUCUAUAUACAACUAAGCAAUUAAAAUAUGUCUUCCCUCACAACGAAGCAAGUCAGUCAUUCGAUUCCAUGAGCACUAGUGCUAAUCCAGUGAAAGGAAAAACAGAUGAGAGAGGAAAAUGCCACCAAUUUAAUCAAACAGUUGGAUGAUCCAACUAGAACAAAUGGAACAUCCCAAUACUAAAUUAACCCAGUACACAGCAGAACAAGGUAAACUGCUUAAUUGUACAUUCUACAAUUUUUUACAAUAAACUCUGAAAAAUUACUAACUGCCUCAAUCAUCCGAGCUAUAUUCACCCGAUUCAGGAAGAACUGCAACAGUAGCGCAUCAACACAACUCUUUAUCCAUUAGGAGGAGACAGGUUCCAUCUGAAUUCCAUUUUAAAUCAACUAUGCUAAAUUGUGGUUGCGGCGAGAUGCUCACAUAGUAGGCAUCACCAGGAGUCCACAUGUACAGAUGAGAAUUUCCCCUGAAAAACAAGACGAGUGCACGUAGUCCACUACAACACACAUGCGAAUGGACUAAGGCCAUCUCCAACCGAUGGCUGGCCAGAGGGCUCGUUUUAGCCCUCUGGCCCUCCAAGAUUCUUCAAGAUAUUAAUAUUUUAAUGAACAGUACAAGACCAUAUUUGCCUCCGUCUCCAACCGAGGGCCAGAGGGCUCGUUUUAGCUCUGUCACAAAAAACCGUCUCCAACCAAGGACCAAAGGGCCAUAGGGCCAAAUAUAAUUUAUUAUUUAAAAACAAAUUUUGUGAAAUAAAAGUUAUAGGAAAAAAAUGGAAUUUAAAAACAAAUAUGAAAUAAAUUUUAUGAAAUACAAGUUAUGGGAAAAAAUGGAAUUUAAAAAAAAUAUGAAACAAAUUUUGUGAAAUACAAGUUAUAGGAAAAAAAUGGAAUUUAAAAAAAAUAUGAACCAAAUUUUGUCAAAUAUAAGUUAUAGGAAAAAAGUUAUAGGAAGUUUUUCUCUAAUAUGGCUUGGAAGAAUAAAAGUUGACUGUUUCCAUUUGUGCUAUCAAACUCAAUCGUACAAUCUGAAUCCACGAGUUAAGGAGAACCACACCUUUAUCUCCUCCUGCCUAACAAUUUAAUGUUGGUUGUUAGAAAUUUAAUGUUGGUUGUUGGUUGUUACUAGUAAUUUAAUGUCGGUUGUUAGUAAUUUAAUUGAUAUGGGGCCAUUGACCCCAUUGACUCUUCCAUCAUCACACACGCUACCGUCAUUGAAACAUUUGAAAUCGAAUCACCAUAUCACUCGAAAGAGGAUUUUCUUUGGAUUUCUUUAUGAGGACUUUAGAAUCUUCUAAUUACAUUCGUUCAUUGUAAAUUGUGUAUCAGUUUUCAUUAAAUACAAUUUAUAUUUAAAUAAAAAAAUUACAAUGAUUUUUUACUGCACGAUACUACAAUAAACGGAUGUGAUUAGAUGAUUUCCAGAGUCCUUACAAACACCCACCUGUUCACAUGUAAGUCCUUCCUAACAUUCAACCUUACAGAAAAGAAUUUCAAACCUUACAUUAUAAAAUAAGGAUCUUUUUACUGCACCGAAUUAUUUCAGACUAAACUAGCUUCAGAGACAAGAACUAGGCUUAUCUUUAACUAAGUUGAAUAAAAAUAGUGAAGCAUUAGUAUAGUGUUAGACUAAGUCGCAAACUGAGAUAUUUUAGACUAAAUAUUUUUGUUCAGGACAACAGAAAAUUAAGAAACAAAUGUAACACCCGGUUGUCCCACCAUCUAGCAAAACCAUUUCUAUAUACAACUAAGCAAUUAAAAUAUGCCUUCCCUCACAACGAAGCAAGUCAGUCAUUCGAUUCCAUGCGCACUAGUGCUAAUCCAGUGAAAGGAAAAACAAAAUGAGAGAGGAAAAGGCCACCAAUUUAAUCAAACAGUUGGAUGAUCCAACUAGAACAAAUGGAACAUCCCAAUACUAAAUUAACCCAGUACACAACAGAACAAGGUAAAUUGCUUAAUUGUACAUUCUAUAAUUUUUUACAAUAAACUCUGGAAAAUUACUAACUGCCUCAAUCAUCCGAGCUAUAUUCACCCAAUUCAGGAAGAACUGCAACAUCAGCGCAACAACACAACUCUUUAUCCAUUAGGAGGAGAGUUUCGAACUCUGAAUGCAUGGGUGGAAACCUGAUGCUCUAUCGACUAGGAUUUUAAACCACAUGCAAAUACAAUAUUUAGAUUCCUAAACAACACAACUCUUUAUCCAUUAGGAGGAGAGUUUCGAACUCUGAAUGCAUGGGUGGAAACCUGAUGCUCUAUCGACUAGGAUUUUAAACCACAUGCAAAUACAAUAUUUAGAUUCCUAAACAUUUUUUUUUUAACUCUUAAACUCUAUACUGCUAAAAUUUAACACCUCAGUUUUACUAGACGUCCAAAAAUUGUUUACCGAACACAAAAUGGAUGUCCAAAAUCACUCCUCAAACUAAUUAAAAUCUUCCAAUUACAUCUCCAACAUUGGAUGCAAAGCUAUUCUAUUCAAAUUUUCUUUAAUUUAAGUUACGUUAUUUGUAUAUGAUACACUUGGUCAAUUUUUUGUCAAUUCAUCUUGUUUUACCAGAAAAAUAGUUUAGAGACUUAAUUUUUAUUCAAAUGUUAACUCAAGGAUUAAGUUAACAAUUUAUCCCAACAAAAAUAAAACUCGAAGUAUAAUUCAAAUACUAUUACUAUAGUUAAGCCUUUGUAAUUUUUACGAAUAUUUGUCUAAAUUUAGACUGGAAAUACAUGCACCGGUUCCUCGAUAGAAAUUAAAGCUGGGUUGGAGGUUUCUCUGCUAAUUUGAGUAUUUGAUCCACAAAUUGAAGUUUUUCUCUAACAUGGCUUGGAAGAAUAAAAGUUGACUGUUUCCAUUUGUGCUGUCAAACUCAAUCGUACAAUCUGCAUGCACGAGUUAAGGAGAACCACACCUUUAUCUCCAGCCUAACAAUUUAAUGUUGGUUUGUAGAAAUUUAAUGUUGGUUAUUGAUUGUUAGCAUGAUCUUAAAUAUUCAUAAUAUCCCGAUAUUUCUAUCGAGAUUUUCGUGUUUUUGAACUACUGAUAUUUUUUUGGACUACCGAUAUUUUUUAUAUCAUCGAUAUUUUAGACCUUGCUAAGUCACUCAUGUAUCUUACCAUGCAAUGUAUAAAGUGUAAAAUAUUAUACUAAUUCAUUAUAUAUAAAUGAUUAUGGUGUGUUUAAACUUCUUUCAUUAAUUAUUACAUAUUUUCUACACUCAUAAUAUUUGUCAGCUUGCUAUAUAAUCAACUUAAAUCAGUUAUAUCUAUCAUGCAAUGCAUUUCCUUUUAAUUUUUUGUGAUAAACUAAUAGAUAAUUGACUAAACAAAGUUUCAAUAAAAAUUUCCAAGUUUUUCUUACAAUUUUCGUGGUUUUUAUUCAAUUUUUAUCGAUAUCGAUAAUAUCUCGAUAUUUCUAUCGAAAUUUCCGUGUUUUGAGACUACCGAUAUUUCCAAUAUCAUCGAUAUUUAAUACAUUGGUUGUUAGUAAUUUAAUGUCGGUUGACCCCAUUGACUCUUCCAUGAUCACACACGCUACCGUCAUUGAAACAUUUGAAAUUGAAUCACUAUAUCACUCGAAAGAGGAUUUUCUUUGGAUUUUCUUUAUGAGGAUUUUAAAAUCUUCUAAUUACAUUCGUUCAUUGUAAAUCGUGUAAUCAGUUUUUAUUAAAUAGGGUUUAUAUUUAAGUUUAAAUAAAAAAAUUACAAUGAUUUUUUACCUCACGAUACUACAAUAAACGGGUGUGAUUAGAUGAUUUCCAGAAUCCUUACAAAGAGGAUCCGGAAAGGAUCCUCAUUCAUAACACCGACCUGUUCACAUGUAAGUCCUUUCUAACAUUCAACCUUAUAGAAAAGAAUUUCAAACCUAACAUUAUAAAAUAAGAAUCUUUUUGCUGCACCGAAUUAUUUCAGACUGAACUAGCUUCAGAGACAAGAACUAGGCUUAGCUUUAACUAAGUUGAAUAAAAAUAGUGAAGCAUUUAGUAUAGUGUUAGACUAAGUCGCAAACUGAAAUAUUUUAGACUAAAUAUUUUUGUUCAGGACAACAGAAAAUUAAGAAACAAAUGUAACACCCGGUUGUCCCACCAUAUAGCAAAACCAUUUCUAUAUACAACUAAGCAAUUCAAAUAUGCCUUCCCUCAGAACGAAGCAAGUCAGUCAUUCGAUUCCAUGAGCACUAGUGCUAAUCCAGUGAAAGGAAAAACAAAUGAGAGAGGAAAAGGCCACCAAUUUAAUCAAACAGUUGGAUGAUCCAACUAGAACAAAUGGAACAUCCUAAUACUAAAUUAACCCAGUACACAGCAGAACAAGGUAAAUUGCUUAAUUGUACAUUCUACAAUUUUUUACAAUAAACUCUGGAAAAUUACUAACUGCCUCAAUCAUCCGAGCUAUAUUCACCCAAUUCAGGAAGAACUGCAACAUCAGCGUAACAACACAACUCUUUAUCCAUUAGGAGGAGAUAGGUUCCAUUUGAAUUCCAUUUUAAAUCAACUAUGCUAAAUUGUGGUUGCGGCGAGAUGCUCACAUAGUAGGCACCACCAGGAGUCCACAUGUACUUAUGAGAAUUUCUCCUGAAAAACAAGACGAGUGCACGUAGUCCACUACAACACACAUGGGAAUGGACUAACUGUUAGUCCAGUCCAAUGAAGUUUAUUGAAUGUAAACAAACACACACUAAAGGAUUAAGUACAAAUAACUAUUCAGCUUUUAAAGUGAUUCCAAAUUGAUCUAAUUCUUUUAAAAUAUUCUAAAUAGCUACAUAACGUUUUAAAGUGGUCAUUUGUUAGAAGACAAGCAUUCAGUGAUGAUGUCACAACCUUUAAUAGAUAAUGUCAUUAAUAUUAAGUGAUGGUUCGAACGAAUACUGAAACUAAUUUUUACUAAUGAAGCUAAUUUUUACUAACACGUCAUUUAUAGAGUGAUGAUGAAUCCCCAAAUGGACUCCUAUUUGUCUAGCUAAAAGGAAUCAGUUUAGAGAUCGAUAUUAUGCUUUGUUGAAGAUCGCUAUACUAUUGUAUUUUCUUAGUUUUCCAAGUAACUAGCGACUUUCCAAAAAUUGUACAAUAUCCACUGGUACAACUUAUAGUGUCUCGACACAUUGCCAACUGAAAUCACACAACCAAGGCUUCUCCCUUGAGGCCAAAGCUUGCAAGCUUCCAUCCGAUAAGGUGGUCGCUGACGAUUAUAAUGGUGCCUAUCUUGUUCUUGGAAUUACGACUAAUAGUCACAGUACGACUCCAAGUAGAGUAGUUGUCACAUCUCGGUUCGAGUCCCCACCACAUUCCGGGCUCAACUCCACCGUAGCACGAUAUUGUCUGCUUUGGGCCUCGACCACGCCCUCACGGUUUUGUUUCUGAGAACUCACACGAGAACUUGUGGGUCACCCAUCAUGGGACAGUCUCAUACAUCCGUUAGUAGAACUGUUAAGUCUCCCGUUAAUUGUGAUGUGGCGCCCAUGUGGACAAUGACUGAGCGCCACGUGUCAUUUAUGUGGAAAUUAAAAAUAAAUUAUUUAUAAUAUAUAUAUAUAUAUUAAAAAAAAGAAAAGCCUUCACCUUCCCCAAAUCCCACCCGUGCCCACCCUCCCAUCACCCACCUCUUCGUCUUCCCCAAAUCCCACCCUCACGCUCAGGAAGAAGAAGAAGAAGGAAGAACAAAAAAAACCCAGAAGAAGAAGAAGAAGAAGAAGAAGAAGAAGAAGAAGAAGAAGAAGAAGAAUGAGGAGGAAGAAGAAAAGCUUGCUAGCUUCCAUUCGAUAAGGUGGUCGUUGACGAUUAUAAUGGUGCUUAUCUUGUUCUUGGAAUUACGACUAAUAGUCACAACACGACUCCAAGUAUUGUAGUUGUCACAUCCCGGUCCGAGCCCCCACCACAUUCCUGGUUCGACUCCACCGUAGCACGAUAUUGUCCGCUUUGGGCCCCGACCCGCCCUCACGGUUUUGUUUCUGGGAACUCACACGAGAACUUCCUAGUGGGUCACCCAUUAUGGGAAUGCUCUCGUGCGAACUCGCUUAACUUUGGAGUUUCGAUGGAACCCGAAGCCAGUGAGCUCCCAAAAGGCCUCGUGCUAGGAAGAGAUGAGAAUAUACAUAUAAGGCUUAGAGGAUCCACUCCCCUGGGAGAUGUAGGAUGUUACAAUCUACCCCCUUAGGGGCUCGACAUCCUCGUUGGCACACUUUCGGCCAGAGAUUGGCUUUGAUACCAAAUUGUCACAUCCCGGCCCGGACCCCCACCACAUAUCGGGCUCGACUCUACCGUAACACGAUAUUAUCUGCUUUAGGUCCCGACCACGCCCUCACGGUUUUGUUUCUGGGAACUCACACGAGAACUUCCCGGUGGGUCACCCAUCAUGGGAAUGCUCUCAUGCGAACUCGCGUAACUUCGGAGUUUCGAUGGAACCCGAAGCCAGUGAACUCCCAAAAGGCCUCGUGCUAGGAAGAGAUGGGAAUAUACAUAUAAGGCUUAGAUGAUCCACUCCCCUUGGCGAUGUGUGAUGUUACAAUAACAACUAGGUAAGUACAAAACCAUUGAACAUAUAUAUAUUUGAAAAACAACUUCAUAAUAUAAAGUCAUCAAUCAUCUAUACUAUAAAGAGGUGUUCUAAACAUGUUCUAAAUAUCAUAUCGUCAUCCAUCAGAUAUUCUAUAAGAACACGGGUUAUAGAAAAAAUAGUAAUAAUUCAAAGGGCAAAAGACUGUUUACUACCCUCAUGUUUCGUGGUUUUCAACAUUUAGUACAUCAAGUUUUUUUCCGCCCAGAGUCAUACCUAAAGUGUAAAUUUUGGGACAGUCUUAUACAUCCGUUAGUCAAACUGUUAAGUCUCCCGUUAACUAUGACGUGGUGCCCAUGUGGACAAUGACUGGGCGCCACGUGUCAUUCAUGUGGAAAUUAAAAAUAAAUUAUUUAUAAUAUAUAUAUAUAUAUAUAUAUAUUAAAAAAAAAAAACCUUCACCUUCCCCAAAUCCCACCCGUGCCCACCCUCCCAUCACCCACCUCUUCGUCUUCCCCAAAUCCAACCCUUCCAUCACCAUCUUCGACUCCACGCUCAGGAAGAAGAAGAAGAAGAAGAAGGAAGAAGAAAGUGAAAAAAAAAAAAAAAAAAAACCAAACCCAGUUCAUCCCCCCAGCAAAAACCCAACCCCCUGCAACCCAUAAGAAGAAGAAGGAGGAGAAAAAAAAAUCCCAUGAGAAGAAGAAGGGAAAAAAAAAACCCAUAAGAAGAAGGAAAAAAAAAAUGGAAGGGAACCCAGUUCAUCCCCUCGAGGAGGAAGAAGAAGAAGAAGAAGAAGGAAGAGGAGGAAGAGAAAAAAAAAAGAAAAAAAAGAAAAGAGAAAACCGAACCCAGUUCGUCCACCCCCCCCCCCCCCCCCCCCCCCCCCAAAAAAAAACCCAACCCCCUGCAACCCAGAAAGAAGAAGAAGAAGAAGAAGGAAGAGAAGGAGGAGGAGGGUCCACCCCCCCCCCCCCCCCCCAAAAAAAAAAACCCAACCCCCUGCAACCUAGAAGAAGAAGAAGAAUGAGGAUGAGGAGGAGGAAGAAGGAAAAAAAAAAAAAAAAGGGGAACCCAAUUCGUCCCCCCGAGAAAGAAGAAGGAGGAAGAAGAAUGGAAAAAAAAAAAUAACCGAGCCCAGUUCGUCCACCCUCUGCAACCUAGAAGAAGGAGAAGAAGAAGAAGAAGGAGGAGGAGGAUGAGAAGGAAGAAGAAGAAGAAGAAGAAAGAAAAAAAAAAAGGAACCCAGUUUAUCCCCCCGAGGAAGAAGAAGGAGGAGGAAGAAGAAUGAAAAAAAAAGAAGAGAAAACUGAACCCAGUUCGUCCACCAGUCUCCAACCCCCCGCCCCCCAAACCUAACCCCCUGUAACCCAGAAGAACAAGAGAAGAAGGAGGAGGAAGAAGAAGAAGAAAAAAAAAAAAAAGGGAACCUAAUUCGUCCCCCCGAGGAAGAAGAAGAAGAAGAAAAAAAAAAAAAAAAAGGUACAUGAUUUUGUUUUUAAAAAAAAAUUUUGGCGGGAAAAAAUGUAAGGUACAUGGUUAUGGGAAAAAAAAAUUGGGCGGGAAUUUUUUUUUUUUAACCCCUAAAAAAAAAAAAAUCCACGUGGCGCCCAGUCAUUGUCCACGUGGGCGCCACGUCACAGUUAAUGGGAGAUUUAACACAUUAACUAACAGAUGUAUGAGACUGUCCCAAAAUUUACACUUUAGGUAUGACUCUGGGACGAAAAAAACUUGAUGUAGUAAAUGUUGAAAACCACAAAACUUUAAGGUAGUAAACAGAGUUUAACCCUAAUUCAAAAUAGCCUCAGUUAGCAUGUUAUCUCAUAAAAUGUUUCAUAAAAUGUAAUCAUUAAAUCAUGCUUUUCAUGUAUGCAUUUAUACUAUUAAAACAUGCAUUUUAGAAAGGGUCCACUCAUAGAUACUUCGCCGCUGAAGAGCCAUGCAAAUUAGCAAAGACAGAAAUGCCACAAUAAUUGCCCAUAAGCACAUAAAGGGUCCAAUUAAUAAAACUUUAUUCUAACAAUUGAAUUUGGGAAUGCGGACGUCGGAAACGGAUUCAGGACGUCAAAUUAUCCUAAGAGAGUUCCGGGCAACGGUUAUGGUGUUGGCAUAGGGCCUGAAGUGUUUUUCCUCUGGUUAUUAGCACAAGGACGAGGAGCCGACAUGGGGCCUGGGGUAAUUUUCCUCUGACUGUUUGUUUAGAGACGGGGAGCCGGCAUGGGGCCUGGAGAGUUAUUGGACAUUCACUAGUGAUUAUUAUAUAUACAAGUUAUGAUUUGAGACAUUGCACGACAUGCUAGGUUUCGGAAAACCUAUGUUUAUCAUGAUAUAUAUGUGUUUUCAUAAAACUUGGGGGUUAGUACGUUGAUAACUGUUUCGUGAACGGUUUUCCUUUGCGUGUUCGUGGGAUCAAGCUCUAUCAGAAAAUGCUAAAAGUAACCUCGAAAGAUGUACGGAUUUUUAAUGAAAAUUCAAACUUUUGAAAUACUUAAUUAAAGCUCUAAAUUAACGAAAAUAAAUUUGCAUAAUUACGAAAUAUGAAAAAUUAAAUAUUGAAAUUCGGGGAUGGGAUUUCAUACUUAGUGUGGCAUGUGUUUGUUCUUCGGUAUCGGUAGGACAAGACAUGGACAAUUACAAAACAAUAAACUUGUUUUAAAUAUUACUACCACUAAGAUAUUGUGAGGUAAAGCAUGAGCAGCAAUUACUUUCACUUUCACCUGUGUACCUUAUAUUUGGUAAUGGACAAUUCUGCUUGUCCUUGGUCCAUCUCCAAUAUUGACUUCAUUUCUCUUUUCGACUUGUUUUUGACUCCCCUUUUCUUUUAACUUGAACUGGAUAUUUAACCACCUCUCUUUGAGAACUCCUACCUCCCUAUUCACUUUUUUUUUCGACCACGGUUACCAAAAACCAAAGAGUUCAACUUCGACCACGACUACCUUCUUCUGACAUCAAUGCCUUGUUAAUAAGAUCUGAAACUUUUUUUUUUAUAAAAAAAACAGAGCUCUUUUGGACACGAUAGAAGUGUCGUAUCUUUGCCUUCACUAUCCCAAAAUAAUACUGGAUUCGGUGGUUGAAGCCACAUUUUCAAUAUGUAAGAUUGAGGCAGCAACUCUAUUUGUUUCAUUCUCAAAUAGACAAUAUGUGCCGACAAGGAAUUCCGCGAAACUCCAUCUCUUUGCAGCUACAUUUAGCAAUAUCUGAGACCGUAUCAAUCACCAUCUUCUUUGUCUUUGUCACUUAUGCAACCUUUCAAGUACUUCAUACAUGUCCUCAUUCCCAUCCACUGACUUCUCCCUCAAGAAACAAGUUAUACUCUUCAAUUCGUCCACUUAAAGCCCUUCAAACAUAAACCUGGUGUGCAAUUUGGCCAUUUGAGCUUCCAUCAGGGUGCGAAACAGCAUAAGAAGGACACAGUUUUCAUCAUUAUGGUCUUUCUGAUGUUGGCGUCCAAGGGAUCAAUUAAACGAAUGAUGAAUUCAAUUAAAGACUGCUUUCUAUUAGCAUACUGCUUGAAAAAGUAAUAAGAACACUAGGCAUGUUGACUGCUCAACAUUCUGACAGAAAAAGCGUGCUUACAAAAUGUAGAAACCCAAGCCAAGUUUCAUCGGCUAACCCAACAUAGCUUUAAGGAAUUCUUCAAACAAUCACUCAAAGCUCUCGAUUUUUUAUUUUUCAGGAAUGCACAACCCAAUACCAUGGUUUGAUCAUGGUUAUUCACUCUUAACAAAGAAGCAAAUAUCAUCCCAUCCACAAUGAUGUUGAAUGUAGUGUCAAACACAAUCACAUUACCAAAAUGGUUAUAACCACAUCUUGACUUAGCAUCCGCCCAAAAGAAAUUUCUAAGUAUUCCGCCUUAAUUCAUUCUCCAUCUUGUAAUAGAAUGACUUGUUUCUUUUUCUCAUCAUCAAAAUUCUCUUUGAGCAUUUCCACAUCAUAUGCUCAAUUAGAUGAGCUCGCAAUUGUUGUUCGACGUUAUACAUAUCCUUGGGGUGCAACCAAUUAUUCUAAUUCCUCCACCUUGCACCUCUAAUAAACCCACUUGUAUACUUAUGGAAAUAUUCGUUUGCGCACAUUGUUCAAUCAUCACCUUCUUUUCCUCUGAAACCCAAUGAUGAGAUUCAAAUCAGUGUGAUGCACUUGCCAUAGGUGGUUGUGUCUGGACUCCUUCGUUGAAAACUGUUCAGUAAACUUAUCGCGACCAAUUUCCUUAUAUAGCGCAAGUUUCGCCUGGUAGUCACUUCUAGAAUCUUCCCUCCUCCCUUUCUAAUUAGUCUGAGAUUAUCAUCUAUCCUCUUUUUGCCUUGUUUGCUACAAACAAAUUUUUUGUUUUAUAUUAAGGUUUAAUAGAAACAAACUCUUUAUUUUCUAGAUUAGGUCAGGGAAACUAUGAAGCAACAAUGUUUGUUUUUUAUAAACAUGAAGCAACAAUGUUAGGGCAACGUAUUGGAUAAGUACUCAAUGACUGCACUAGAUAUUUCUAGUCGUUUAAUUAGUUUCUUAUGAAAAUUUAAAAGGAAAGUGUUUUAUGCACACUUUUUUCCUCAUUUUGUUAAUUUAGUUUCUUGCAGGCUUAUAUCAAACAAGUUGAAAUCGGCCACGGAAGCAAGGCUUAUAUCAUUGCUGUUGGAAGUUUUGAGACUCUUGUUCCACAUUGGAGAAAACAAGAUUCUCAAUGGCCUUUAUAUAGAUUUAGUGCUUUAGUCUAGUAGUUAAAACAUGGACCAUUUGGAAAUGGAUUGAAGGUUUGGGCCUUAUGGUUGUGUGGAUUAGGCUUGUAUAAUAUAGCCUAAAUACAAUUAAUAUUAACUAAUCAAGAGGCCCUUGGGGCCUUGGAAUUUAAAAUUAAUUUGAUUCAUUAAUUUUAAUUUUCGGAUUAAGUUUUUAAUUAAUUUAUUAAUUAAAAACGUUUUGAUUAAAAGACACAGCUCUUAGAAAGAGUUGUGUACCUUCAAAUACAUUGAACAGGUGUUUGAAAGGGUGUGAAACAGCCUAUAUAUUUGCAAUCACAGUAUCCAAAUGAAUUAUCUUUUCUUGCUCUUUUCUUCUGUACGAAUUUUCUAGAGAGUAAACACACAAAAAGCAAAUUCGCUAGAGUUCUAGAACCCAGUGCAGAUUGUAAAAUCAGGUAGUUGAAUUCUGGUCGAGCAGACGUUGUAGAACCACAAGCACAUGAGCGAGACGUAAAUACUGUUCGAAGGACAUAGCUUUUACGCUAGCCUCUACCUUCUGUAAUCAAGUUAGUAACAUUAAUAUUCUUAUAUUAAUUUCUGUAUUAUUGUGUAAUUUUCUUUUUGCAUAGCAAGUAUAUUUUGGUUAAUAAAAUAUUAGAAUUUCUGUUAUUUUUGUUUAUUUCUGAAUUGUUCUCUAACAAUCUUCGAACAAUAUGGAACAAUCAGGAACUAAACCUCAUUCUGAGAAGCCUGAGAAAUUUAAGGGCGGAGAUUUCAAAAGAUGGCAACAGAAGAUGCUGUUUUAUUUGACAACACUGAACUUGGCUAAUGUUCUGCGCGAAACUGAGCCUACUGCAGAUGGAGAAAAUAUAUUUUCUGUAGAAACUUUAACGGCCAUAGAUGCCUGGAAACAUAAUGAUUUCCUCUGCAGAAACUAUAUUCUCAAUGCAUUAGAUGAUUCGUUGUAUAAUGUCUAUGUGGUAUUCAAAAUAGCCAAGGAACUUUGGGAAUCACUUGAGAAAAAAUAUAAAACCGAGGAUGCUAGUUCAAAGAAAUUUGUCGUGAGCAAAUUUUUGGACUACAAAAUGGUGGAUUCCAAGUCUUUUGUCUCUCAAACUGAAGAUCUCCAGAAAAUCAUCCAUGACGUUCAUGUUGAAGGGAUGGUAAUCAAUGAGUCUUUCCAAGUGGCGUCCAUUAUACAAAAACUGCCACCUUCUUGGAAAGAGUUCAAGAGUUAUCUCAAGCACAAACGUAAGGAGAUGACCCUUGAGGAUCUCAUUGUAAGGCUGAGAAUUGAGGAAGAUAACAGAAAAAAUGAGAAGGGCCUGGUUUCGAGUAUGGAAGCCAAGGCGAAUGUUGUUGAAGGAAGUUCAUCAAAGCAAAGGUCGAAAUUCUAGAAAACUAAGAAGAAGGAAAGCCACUUUAUCCUUGGUGUGAAAGGCAAAGACUUCAAGAAAAUCAAGGGAAGUUGCUGGGUUUGUGGAAAGCAAGGCCAUAGGGCUCAAGAAUGUCGCCAUCGAAUGGAUCAAGGUCCAGGAAAUCAAGGCAACAACAACCGCGCAAACCUGAUUGAAAACAAUGUGGAUGCCCUGGCUGCAAUGAUUUCUGAAAUCAACCUUGUAUCUGACUACGCUGAUUGGUGGAUAGAUACUGGUGCAACUUGCCAUGUAUGUGGUGACAUAAAUAUGUUCUCUUUGUACCAGAAAAUCGAGGGAAACAAGCAGCUGUUUAUGGGAAAUGCAUCUGCAUCUGUUGUGGCUGGAAUAGGGAUGUGUGUUCUGAAAUUCACUUAUGGAAAGGAGUUAACCCUCCUUAACGUGCUGCAUGUCCCCGAUAUAAGGAAGAAUCUUGUUUCUGGUCCUAUCCUUAGUAAUAAAGGAUUCAAACUAGUUUUUUAGUCCAAUGAGUUUGUACUAACUAAAGGGGGAAUGUUUGUAAGGAAGGGUUACCUUGCUGAUGGAUUAUUCAAACUAAAUGUACUUGCUAAUGCUAUGAAUGAAAUAAAUAAUGCUUCUGCUUAUAUUGUUGAUUCGUCUCAUUUAUGGCACUCUAGGUUAGGAUAUGUAAAUUUUUCGUUCUCUUUUUAGAAUGCAUAAUUUAGGUUUGCUCCCCAAAAUUGAUUAUCUAGAUAAUGUUAAAUGUGAAACUUGUACAGAAUCGAAAUUUGCAAGUCAAAGCUUUAAAUCAGUGCAUGAAAAAUCCAAUGAUUUGUUAGAUUUAAUUCAUAGUGACUUGUGUGAUUUUAGAUCAUAUCCAACUCGUGGUGGAAAGAACUAUUAUGUAACAUUUAUAGAUGAUUUCAAUAAGUAUUGUUAUGUUUAUUUACUUCAUAGCAAAGAUGAGACCUUGGAUAUGUUUAAGACAUAUAAGGCAGAAGUUGAAAAUCAACUUAACAAGAAGAUUAAAGUCUUAAGGUCCGAUAGGAGAGGAGAAUAUGAGUCUCAUGCAUUUGCUGAAUUUUGUGCCACACAUGGCAUAAUUCAUCAAAUAACAGCCCCCUAUACACCACAACAAAACGGUGUUUCCGAACAAAAAAAAGGACUUUUAAAGACAUGAUCAAUUCCAUGUUGAAUAGCUCUAGGCUUCCACACAAUAUGUGGGGCGAAGCUUUACUUACUGCAAAUAAAAUUUUGAAUCGAAUUCCACCUAAAACGAGAAAGGAGUCACCAUAUGAAUUAUGGAAAGGAAGAACUCCAACGUUUAAAUUGCUUAAAGUGUGGGGUUGCCAAAGAGAACAAAAUUAGGGCCUAAAACUAUAGAUUGUGUUUUUAUUGGUUUUGCAUCUAAUAGUUCAGCUUAUAGAUUCUUAGUUUUUCAUUCCGAAGCAAGUGAUAUACAUGUCAAUACUAUUAUAGAAUCUAUAAAUGCAAUAUUUUUUGAGGAUAUUUUUCCAUACAAAAUAGGCAAGUCUAAUUUAUUAAAAAAAAGAUUACAUGAUGAUGUAUCUAAGGUUACUAACGAACCUAGAGAACAUGAUGAUGGUUCAACCUCGUCUAGAGUUCAAGAAGAGGAAGAACUUGAACCUAGAAGAAGUAAAAGGACAAAAAUUUGAAAGGACUUUGGGCCUAAUUUUGUGACCUUAUUAACCGAGACAGAACCUCAAUCAUUCAAGGAGGCCAUUUCCACUCCUGAAGCUCCAUUUUGGAAGGAUGCAGUUAAUAGUGAGAUAUAUUCCAUUAUGCAAAAUCAUACAUGAGAAUUAGUCGAUUUGCCCUCUGGCAAUAAGCCAAUUGGGUACAAAUGGAUCUUUAAGAAGAAAUUAAAACUAGAUGGUACAAUUGACAAAUAUAAGGCUCGUUUGGUAACUAAAGGAUACCAAACCAUUAUGAAGUAAUUUUUCGUUUACCUUAUGGAUGCAUCUAACUUCCUCGUUAGACUGCCUACGUACCCUCAAUAGGGAUCAAGCCAUUCGUAGUUCACUUAUCACAAAAUCAGACGUUUAUUCCACUAAGUUCAAGCAGAAAAGCAUAGCAUUCCUCAAUCAUUUAUUAUAACCUGUCAACAUGUAAUCCCUGGACUCAGGCUACAUAACCAAUCCCCAUGAAAACAUGAUUUCUCUCCCAUCCAACAUAUAAAUCAUUAUGUCUCAUCAUGAUAUCGCAAUUCACAACACACAUCAUAUUUAAGAGCCGACGAAACACAAAACCAUUCUUUAGCCGCAUUAAUUAAUUAAUUUGAUCAAGUAAUAACAGUCAUUCCCAUAUCUUCUAAAUUCAUACCAUAUGAAAUCAUAAUCAAAUCAUAGAAAAUCCCGAAGGAGUCACUCAGACGUCCAACAUCUUUUCUAACUCAAUUCACAAGACUCUCGAAACCAUUGACACAAAUAUAUAUAAAACUAAGGCUAGAGUGACACAGUUAGGCCAAGCCUACUUCUCCAAAUAAUGGGAUUUUAGGCCACUCCACGAAAUUCAACAACCUCGGGUUCCGGACUACUCAACGGAACCAACCCAAAUAUGAUCGCCUAUAAAAUGUACCAGGUACAACCAAUCAUCAUCACCUCUAGAAUGCGCAUGGUCCCCCAUCGCGAAUAUACCAAGCAGAACCAUAGGCAUAAUCUCAUCGUGCAUGCAGUGAUCACCCAUCUCGGAUAUACCAAGCAUGAUCACCCCUGAAUACAUAUGGUCCCCCAUUGCGGAUAUACCAAGCAGAACCAUAGGCAUAAUCUCAUUGCUAUGAUUUACAUCGUAAUCACUUGCACUAUCAACUUCUCAUGACCACUAUCUUAUCAUACAAGCAUAAAAGUUCUACAUAAACUUCUCAUAAGAUUUUGGGUUUACAUCGUCAUAAAAACAAUCAUUCACAUCAUACAUAUCCAACCACAUUUCAUAACAUUUCCAAACUACAGUAGAUUCACAAUUACUAAACAUAGAUCGAUGCUAAAAAUAAAAAUAACAAUUCAAUAGGAAGCAUAUCUAAUCAACAAGUAUAACUCAAUAUGGUGCCACUAAUACAUAUAUCGAGACACACGUCAACUGGGAAUGACACGUCAUCAUGAUGAGCCAACUAAGCUCCAUCAAGCCUCAACAACAUACUAGAGGUAAGCGACCUCAAGAGUAGAGCACGUUGACUAGAACGUCAACCGUCGAUAAGGUAGGUCCAUUAAGGUCAACAACCUAAGGUUAUUUGAUCCAGAAGAUCCACACAUCGGAUUUCCUAUCUAUAAGUUCUCAAAGGUCUAACAACUGAUAACUAGGGUGUUCACAAAAUUGUACGACGAACCAACGAUCGGAUUGUCAUCAAUCACACAAACAAGUGGCUGUCCAAUUUGAUUACCACACCAAACAAUUGAAUUUCGGGAAACCGAGCUAGACAUAGGUUCACAAGGUCACUAGAAGGUAUUUGAUACUUAGACAACACUCGUGGAUGGUCACACGCGGUGGUAGCCAAGGUGGAGGGUUUAGAAACCCCUAAUUUUCAACAUGAACUAAAUGAGCUCAAAUUUAUAUGGUAGCUAGAGCUCAACAAGGGAAACACUUUUCACAACUAGGCCAAUGAUAAAUUCUAACCGGAAACUGUCCAAAUUCACCGAAGAAAACCGGAUUUCUAGGGUUCUAAACACCCAACUCUAAAAUGAAUACGAAAGCACAAACCAAGCAUAUCAACUUGAAGAUUAUGAAGAGUAGAUGAAGUUUCCUACCUCACUCGAAGGAAAUGGUUGCUGGAAUCACAUGAAAAAUGACAAAAUCGCCAGAAACCCACAUAAAUUUUCUGCCUCAAACUAGAAAAAUGGAUAAUAAAAUGGAAAAUUUAACACUACAGAGAUGUAUGGCUCGUCAAGAGCUUUCUAUGGACACCAAGAUCACCCAAAACGGAGCUCGGAUGAAGGAGAUAUGAGUGGGUCAAGUUGGCGGGUUAAAGGGUUGAAAUCGCCCCAAAAAGGGGUCAAAAUCAGACCCCUCCUUUUUUUUUUUUUUUUCAGAAACCUUCCCCCCCCCCCCUUUUAUUUGAUUGGUCCUUCUCCUGCUAGCUAAUUAGUCCUCUUAUUUUUGCUUAAAUCUGAUUAAGCUUCUUCCUCGUGGAAGUUUAAUCGAUUUAAAAUCUAUAGUUUAGUAACACAACUUCAAAUGUCCGUAAUUAUACCAUUAUAAUCCAGGCUCGCAAACGGCUUUCGCCAAUACAUUCGUGGUUUCGAGAUCUAUUCGAAAACGCUACUUGUGACCUCGAAAGGUCAACGAGUAAAUAAUAAUUUUCCAAACUUCACUCUUUGUAACUAGUUUAAUUGAAAUCCAAAUUCAAAUAAAUAAAUAUAAAUUUUCGAAAAAUAAUACAAAAUCUCAAUAAUACAAAUACGUAGAUUAUAACAAUGAAAUCCAGGAACGGGAUUUCACAAAUUGGUUGAGUGAUAUCCAAUUAGAAACAUGCAGCCCUGGAUAAGAACUCCGAACUUGGGGUAGAUUAUGAAAUCCCAUAGAUGUUACUUUAGGGAACCCGAACUCGUGUUGUUUCUGGUCCUUCUUCCUUUGCAACAAUUUCCCCCCGUUAAACCACAAUUCUCAACCUUCAACUUGCUUAGCUACUUAAGAUCUUUGGCCACUGAGGCGGGGAAGACAUUUUUCAAACUUUCACAUGCUUCUAUCUUAACUGAAUUUAGAUUUGUUCAAAUCCAUUCAACUGAGUGGUAGAUGAUGUGUCAUAUACCACUUGUACUAAUUGACAUUGCUAUAUUUUUAAUGUCUCUAGACCAUUCAAUCUUCCCAUGAUACUUGACCCAAAGAUAUUAAUCAGACUGUGGCAUCUACAAACAUCUAUAAUUCUGAUCCUGCCAAAAGAGUCUGGAUCAAGUUGAUUGUGGAAUAUUAUCUUCAACUUAGGUAAGUCCUAUAUGUACAAUCUCUCCAAGCUAGAAAAUCCUACCUGCCACAUAUUUAUUUUAGAACUUAUGGACAAGCCUUUUUUUACUUUCACAAAAGUAGGACUCCAUAACCUUAGACAGAAGAGGAACGUUUGGUUAUAUUCUGUUUUGUCGUUGGUUUCCCUGGGCUGCACUAGUCUCAGUACAACUCGGCGGCUCCUCCUUCUAGUCUACGCUGUCGGCAUCCCGGCUCUGUCCUCUACCCGCCUUCCAUCCUUCCUUGGCAAUUGUAAGUCCUUAUUCACUUGUUCUUUAUCUUCUUUUCCUUUUUCUUGUAAAUUAAUUUAUAAGAUUGUUUUUGAAUUCUGAUAUUGUGAUUUUACAUUUAAGAAUCAAUGUUGAUGGGUUUUUAGUUGAUAGAUUUUUUUAGGGAUUUUAGGAUUUUGAUAAAUGCGCAAUUUCUAAUUUCACAUAAUUCCUUACUUUUUAGGGAUUUAAAGGCUUAGUUGAGUUAAUAGUAAAGACGGGAGAUGCUAUUCAGAAUGCGGGAACAACUUUACAUGGUCAUUUUGGUCACCUGUUUGCUGAUACAUGGCUGAUUAUGCAAGAGUUCAAGCAAUGGAAGAUUUCCUUCGGACCAAGAGAGACGAACAGAGUGGCACAUAGGCUUGCACGGUUGAGUUUAACGCUUGACCAUCCAAUUUCUUGGUUUGAAGAACCCCUGAUAUUAUUUUUGAUUUAUUAUUGGAGGAUAGUCUUUAUAGUUAAAUUGGUGCGGGACACUCUUUUUUCCUUCGAUUGGAUUGAAAACCCUGACAAGGUUUUUAUUGAGAUUCGUGUGAUGUAUGCUCACCACCAUUUAGUGUGGUGUAUGCUCAACACCGUAUUUAUCACCAUUAGAUGAGUUUGAAUUUCGAGAUUCGCACGAAUCUCGAAAUUCAAACUCAUCUAACGGUUGAUAAUGUCACAUUCCGGCCUGGGGCCCCACCACAUCCUAGGCUCGACUCCACCGUAGCACGAUAUUGUCCGCUUUGGACAUCGACCACGCCCUCACGGUUUUGUUUCUUGGAACUCACAUGAGCAGAAUUGUGAAAUCUCGUUCCCGGAUUUCACUGUUAUAAUCUACGUAUUGUACUAUUGAGAUUUUAUAUUAUUUCUCCAGGAUUUAUUUUAAAUUGUUUGAAUUUAGAUUUUAAUUAAACUAGUUACGAAGAGUGAAGUUUGAAAAAUAAUUAUUUAAAAUUCGUUGACCUUUUGAGGUCACAAGUAACGUUUUCGAAUAGGUCUCGAAGCCACGAACGCAUAGGCGAAACCGUUUGCGAGUCCGAAUUAUAACAGUAUAGUUACAGACGUUUGAAGUUGUGAACUAUAGAUUGUGGAAAUUGUUUAAAUUCCACAUGUUGCUAAAGGUUAAGUGAGUCUAAUAAUAUUAAAAGGAGACGAUCAGAUUUUUAAGGGAGGUCUGAUUUUUUUGACCCGUUUUGGGCGUUUUCGACCCAUUAAAACCACAAACUUGAUCCACUUGUAUCUUUUUCAUCCGAUCUUCGUUUUAGGUGAUCUUGGUGUCCAUGAAAAGCUCUUGACGAGCCCUACAACUCUGUAGUGUUAGAGUUUCCAUUUUCUUAUCCAUUUUUCCAGUUCGAGGCAGCAAAGUCCUGUGGGAUUUCAGGCGAUUUUGUCAUUUUUUCGGCGAUUCCGACAACCAUUUCCUUCAAGUGAGGUAUGAAACUUCAUCUACUCUUCAUAAUCUUCAAGUUGGUAUGCUUGGUUUGUGUUUUUGUAGUCGUAUUAGUGUUGGGUGUUUAGAACCCUAGAAAUCCAGUUUUCCCGGUGAAAUUGGAUGGCAUACGGCUUGAAUUUGUCGUUGGCCUAGUUGUGAAAAGUGUUUCCCUUGUUGAGCUCUAGUUACCACAUAAAUUUGAGCUCAUUUAAUUAAUAUUGAAAACUUGGGUUUUCAAACCCUCCACCUUGACUAUCCUGCGUGUGGCGGUGCGUGGGACCGUCCACGAGUGUUGUCUAAGUACCAAAUAGCUUUUAGUGAUCCUAUGAAUCUAUGUCUAGCUCGGUUUCUCGAAAUUCAAUUGUUGGUGUGGUGAUCAAAGUGGACCGCCACUUGUUUGUGUGGUUGAUGACAAUCCGGUCGUUGGAUCGUCGUACAAUUUUGUGAACACCCUAGUUACCAGUUGUUGGACCUUUGAGAACUUACAGAUCGGAAAUCCAAUGUGUGGAUCUUCCGGAUUGAAUAACCUUAGGUUGUUGACCUUAAUGGACCUACCUUAUCGACGGUUGACGUUCUAGUCAACGUGCUCUACUCUUGAGUGUCGCUUAUCUCUUGUUUGUUGUUGAGGCUUGAUGGAGCUUAGUUGGCUCAUCUCGAUGAUGUUUCGUUCCUAGUUAAUGUGUGUCUCGAUUUAUGUAUUAGUGGCACUGUAUUGAGUUAUACUUGUUUAUUAAAUGUGCUUUCUAUUGAAUUGUUAUUUUUAUUUUUAGUAUCGAUCUAUGUUUAUUAAUUGUGAAUCAACUGUAGCUUGGAAACGUUUAUGAAAUGUGGUUAGAUAUGCAUGAUUAGUAUGAUGUGUAUGAUUGUUUUUAUGACGAUGUGAACCCAAAAUCUUAUGAGAAGUUGAUAGUGCAAGUGAUUACAAUGUAAAUCAUAACGGAUGAGAUAAGGGUAAGUGGUUCAUGUGUUGAUCUAACUGCACCAUGUAGACGUGGUACAUGGAUGGUCCUGCUUGGUUAAUCCACGUUGGGGGACCAUACUAUAUAUGGAUCGUGCUUGGUUAAUCCGCAUUGGGUGAUCACUACCUAACAGUUUUGUAGGUGUGACUCUACUUGGUUAAUCCACGUUGGGGGUCACUACCUACAUGAUUAUCUUGACCUUGCUUGGUUAAUCAUCAUUAAGGGAUCACUAGUGAUCCUGCUUGGUUAAUCCGCGUUGGGGGACCAUACUUUAUAUGGGUCGCGCUUGGUUAAUCCGCGUUGGGCGAUCCUUAUGGCCAUGUAUGCUUAGGAAUGAUCAUGCUUGGUUAAUCCGCAUUGGGUGAUCACUUCCUAACAGUUGUAGGAGUGACUCUGCUUGGUUAAUCCGAAUUGGGGGGUCAUUGCCUACUUGGAUACUUUCUCAGGGGUGGCUCUGCGUGGUUAAUCCGCUUUAGGGGGCCACUUCCUGUUUGAUUACUUAUGUAGGCUUCGGCUAAAAUGCAUUCCUCUAGCCCUAGUUUUAGUGCACAUAUGAAUGAUGGUUUUUGAGAAUCUUGGUGGUUUGAAUGGGAAAUGUCGAUGGAUGUUUGGGUGACUCUUUCGGAGUUGCAGCAACUUGAUUAUAAUUUCAUACAACAUGAUUCUACACUCGAUGUUUAUAGAUUGCGAUCGAUGAUCUGUUUUUACUAAAUAUCACAUAAUUGUAUUAUUGUCACUUACCCGAGCCUCGCAGUUUAUUUUAAGUGUCUGAUUGGCCAAAAGUACCAUUUCUAUGAUGUAGGCACUGCUUUUACAUAUGACAGGUCUGAGUAGAUUAUGAGAAACUGCUUGAUAUUUUGGUUCCGUUGAGUGGUCCGGAACCCGGUGUUGUUGGAUUCCGUCUAGUGGUCCGGAAUCUUUGCUCUUGCUCAUCCCCAUAAGAUUAGUCUAGAACCCUAGAUUCGAGUGAAUGAGAAUUACCCACAAUAGACCUUGUGAAUAUAAAAUAGAGUUACCAUGUUAUUGCUCAUAACCCAAGUAGGGAAUUAUGUAGAGUUCCUUAAUUAAAUUCAUGAAAUAAUAUGCUAUCUCAUUGAUUAUUUAAUGUAAUUAAAUAUUAAUAUUAUGCUUUGUGAUUCCUUGGUAUGUUAUAAGCUAUGGACUGAGAUAUAAUGUUGGAAGCAUAGUGAUUGGUAUGAUGUAGUGAAAUGUGAUUUGACUUGUGUAUUGGAAAUGGUUGUGACAUGUGAUUGAAAUGCAUAUUGAAUUGCUUGGGAGAUGUGAGGUCUAGUAAUGGACCGAUAACCUAUUGUGAUGGGGAUUUGUUGCUCAAUAUUGUUUCAUUUCGUUGAGUCUUUGUGAAUUGAGUAACUUGAAUCAUGUCUUGUUCCUUCGAGCCGUUGUUAUGCUUCUUGGACUUCCAUUUAGUUCUGUUGAGUGGUCCGGAACUGAGUUCUACUUGGAUUCCGUUAAGUGAUGGUCCGGAAUCCCUUCUACUCCGCGAUUCUGUUGAGUGAUGGUCCGGAAUCGUAUCCUGAUUGGAUUCCGUUGAGUGAUGGUCCGGAAUCCCCUUUGGUGCCUUGGUUCCAUUGGGUGGUCCAAAGUCCCCUUUUCCAGAGAUGUAGUCUUCGAUUGAACUGUGUCGCUCUAGCCCGCAUUUCAACUUGUUGUAUGUGUUAUUGAUGAUGUGAUGGUUGGCAUUAUUAUUAAUUGAUGUGAUUAUGGAAUAAUGUUGGUUGUGAUUGUUGUCAUUAUGAUUAGACUCGUUGAUCAUUUGGUUAAAGGAUAACAUGGUGAACUACGAAUGGCUUGAUCCCUAAUGAGGGUACGUAGGCAGUCUAACGAGGAGGUUAGAUGCAGCCAUAAAAUAUACGAAAAGAAAAAUUUACUAUGAGAAUAGAUUCUCGAGUUGUGAUUUGCCUUAUUUCAGAUGCGGGGUAUGUUGAGAUACAGGUUUAGGUGACGUCACGUGUCGAUCCUGGACGUAUGUCGGGAUCGGGACGUGACAAGAACUUCCCAGUGGGUCACCCAUCCUGUGAAUGCUCUGACCCCAUUCUUGCUUAACUUCAGAGUUCCUACGUAACCGAAGCCAGUGAGCUCCCAAAAUGCCUCGUGCUAGGUAGAGAUGUGAAUAAAUAUAAGGCUUAUAUAAUCCAUUCCCUUAGGUGAUAUGGGAUGUUACAAUCCACCCCCCAUUAGGGGCCCGACGUCCUCGUCGACACACUUCCGGCUAGGGAUUGGCUCUAAUACCAAAUUGUCACAUCCCGGCCCGAGCCCCCACCACAUCCUGGGCUUGACUUCAUCGUAGCACGAUUGUCUGUUUUGGGCCCCGACCAUGCCCUCAUAGUUUUGUUUCUGGAAACUCACAUGAACAGAACUUCCCAGUGGGUCACCCAUCCUGGGAAUGCUCUGGCCCCAUUCUUGCUUAACUUCGUAGUUCCUACGAAACUGAAGCCAGUGAGCUCCCAAAAGGCCUCGUGCUAGGUAGAGAUGUGAAUAUACAUAUAAGGCUUACAUGAUCCACUCCCUUGGGCGAUGUGGGAUAUUACAAAUCAAUAGGGUAAUGAACAUACAACACACUACAUGGUGGUGAGCAAAAAUGCACUCCACUGUUAGCACCCUAUCCUCAAAUUUGUACAUAUUUCUACAAUUCAAUGAAUAUCGUACUUGCAUAAAAAAAAUAGUAAAGACGGGAGCUUUGAAUAAUUUCACAUAAACGUCUAAUUUCGAACUUCUGAAGUGCUCCAGCCAAAUUGAACUUCCUGAUUGGUACUUCAUUAGAUCUGCAUCCGUGGCAAGGAAAGUCUACUUGAGUGCUGGUCUUGGUGUUGGUGCCUUCAGCAGGAUCUAUGGAGGGAGCAAGAGGAACUGAAGGAAAACAGAGCAGUAUGCAACUCUUUUUGCUUUGUUUUGCUUUUUCUACUAAACUUCUUCUGGACACAACUGCAUAGUGGAAGCAAAAGUCGGGUUAUACAGCACUUGCAAAGUAGAAACUAUGCUACGAAAUAGAUGUUUCUUGAUCAUCAAACAACAAAGACUAAAAAGAUGACGAAUGACUUUCUGAAAACAAUUUUUAUAAUCCAAAAACUUGGUUGGUAUUGAGCUACAUGCAAACAUUUAUGACUGGCUUUGAAUUUCACUUAGACAUUUUAACAAACACAUAUCUGUGCACUUUAAGCCCUGCAGAAAAUGAAAUGAAGAACAAUUCGCUCGUUGAAGACUAACAAGUUUCAUUGAAAAUGUGUCUAGUGCCCAUAUCUAAAAUGUCAAAAACUAGUAAAUUUGUGUUUGAUAGUAAAGGUUUUGUAAUAUACAUUUUAAGAUAGUAACAUGGGGGUGGCGAUGGUGUUUGCAGCUAGAGUGGUGUUGGUAGCAAGGUGGUUGAGGUCAGUGGCGAAGCCAAGUGAGGGCGCGAAGUGGCGGCCGCCACUCCCCUCGCCGGGAAACACCACUGGACCCAGCUCUUCACCACUCCCCUCGCGCGCGCCUCGCCGGAAAACCCUGGUUCAUCUCCUUUGUUUUUUUUGGGCAAUCUGCAAUCUAUUCUGUGCGGAGUGCUGUUAAUUUUUUUUUUAAAACCAGGCCAAAACGAUGUCGUUUUGGGCCUGGUAAAAAAAUUUUAAAAAUUGUAAAACAAAAAGGCACCGUUUUUAUAUUUGAAUUAAAAAAAAUUAUAAAGGGGGACCGCUUCUACGUGUCGCCCCAAAACCCUAUAUGUCCCCCCCCCCCCAUACCCCAUUCCCCUUUACUUUGCUUAUCCUAUGCUGUUUGUUCACCAAUCAACACACAAAGAGAGAGGCCAAGCUGCUCCCCAAAAUCCCAGCAACCAAGCCAAGGCAAGUCCCCUUUAAUUUAUGUUAAGCCUUCACAGUUCACAAGUCAUUAUCCUCUCCACCUUGAGCUUGAGCCGUCGGCUUCCACCAAUCACCAUUUAAAGGUAAAUUUUUUAAUUCUUAAAUGUAUAAUCCCUAACCCUAAUUAAUUAUUUAAUACAAAUUUCAUUUAAUUGGUAUAGAAUCAUAUGGUAAUGCAUUAAUAUGGUUAUUGAUUAUUGAUGUGAAUCAUAUGCUUCUAUGAUUAUUGAUUUGAAAUUAUGAAAUUAUAUUUUAGGGUGAAAUUAUUGAUACGAAUUGGGAAUUAGAAGAAUUGUGCUUUUAAUUUGCUUCUUACUCUUAUCAUAUGUAUGUAUAAUUGUACAUAUAGAUAAAUUGGCAUGUCAAAAGCCAUCUUUAACUAAAAUUAUUGGUAAUAAGCCACCAGGAUGGACGCAAUGAGCCAUCUUUAACUAAUAUUAGUACUUUUGAUUAAUUGAAUUGUUGGUUGGUUGGAUUAGUUAUUAUGCAUACUAUAAUAAUAGUAUAGUCUACUUUAGGAUUAAGAGUCUAAGAAUUUUUAUUUCUUUCCAUUUUACAGUUACGUAAUAGAACGAUACUAUAAGAAACAAUGCUUAAAUCCUCCUUCAAACAUUUCGAGUAGUCAUUCUCCUUCAAAUAUUCCGAGUAGUCCUCCUCCUCCUUCAAAUAUUCCAAGAGGUCCUCCUUCAAAUAUUCCAAGUAGGUCACAACAAAGUGAAGCCACUGAGUUGGAUGAAAUAUUGGCUAAUCUUCCUGCAGACCCUGCACAUAGACGUCGAAUGUUUGAUUAUCCACCUAAUUAUCGUGAAGCAAUUCGUAGACACUAUCUCCAAGUCGAUCCUUGUCAACCUAGAGACCACAUCAUGCCAAGAAAGGUUAGCGACAAUCGAUGUUUUAUCAUUCGUUGCUUUGAUAAGUUUAAGUGGUUGGAGUAUAGUAAAUCAAAAAAUGCUGCAUUUUGCCGUUAUUGUUAUCUUUUCAAAUGUGAUUUUGAUCAAACGGGUAGCACUGAAAGGGAUGUCUUCACUGAGAUAGGGUUUACAAAUUGGAAGAAAGGACCCGAAAAUCUUCGAGUCAAUGAAGGAGGUGUUGGAAGUCUUCAUAAUAAAGCUAUACAACAAGCUAGAGAUUUGAUGACACAAAAACAACACAUUGAAACAUUUGUGAUUAAGCAAACCGAUGAAGCUCGCAUUAAUUAUCGUACUUUAUUGAGUGCCUCACUUGAGUGCACAAGAUGGUUGUUGGGACAAGGUUUUCUUUUUUGUGGCCACGAUGAAUCGUUGAAAUCAAGCAAUAGGGGCAAUUAUUUGGAGCUUAUGCAAUUUCUUUCCAAGCAUAAUGAACAAGUUAGGAAGGUUGUGUUUGAGAAUGCUCCCAAGAAUCUUAAGUAUACUUCUUCUGAUAUUCAAAAAGAUCUUGUCAGUGCUUGUGCCAUUGAAACUGUAGAUGCAAUCACUAAAGAUAUGGAAGGUGCAUUUUUUUUCUCUUUUGGUUGAUGGAGCACGUAAUUCUUCAACUAAAGAGCAAAUGGCAGUGGUAUUGCGUUAUGUGAAUAAAAAAGGAGAAGCAAUUGAAAAGUGUUUGGGUGUUCAACAUGUCUCCUCUACAACUAGUGGCUCGCUUGAAGAGGCCAUUAAGAGAUUGUUUGCUACAACAAAUUUGAGUAUGUCCAAGUUACGAGGACAAGGCUAUGAUGGAGCUAGCAAUAUGAAAGGUGAGUUAAAUGGUCUUAAAACAAAGAUUUUGAACAAAUACCCUUAAACAUUUUAUAUUCAUUGUUUUUCACAUCAACUCCAACUAGCUCUUGUAUUCGUGGCAAAGGAAAAUGAGGAUGUUGCCAAUUUCUUCAUCAAAGCUAGUAGUUUAGUGAAUCUUAUUGGAUCAUCGUGUAAGCGUCAUGAUGCAUUUAGAGAGAAACAACAAGAACAAAUUCAUAAAGCUCUUGAUCUUAGUAAUCUUGAAACGGGUAAAAGGUUAAAUCAAGAAAUGAGUCUCAUGUGUCCAUGUGAUACACGGUGGAACUCGUAUUAUGGUACUAUAGUUAGUAUUAUUGUUAUGUUUGAAGCCGUGGUGGAGGUGGUUGAAUGGAUAAAAAGUGAUCGCAACCAAGAUAAUCUCGGUGAAGCAACUAGGUUUUUCAAAGACAUACAAACUUUUGAUUUUGCAUUUCACCUUUUCUUGAUAAGACUUAUAUUGGGAAUUACAAAUGAGUUAUCACAAACAUUGCAAAAGAAAGAUCAAUAGUAGGGUGGCGGUAGAGGGGUGUUGGUACCAGUAUUGGUGAGAUAUGCACAUUGGGUGGCGGCAAGAGUAGGGUGGUGAGGGGAAAAUAGUGGUAGGUGACGAUGGUGAUGCUGGCGCAGGAGGUGGAGAUUGUGGUGGCUAUGAUAGCAGGGUGACGGCCAUGGAGACAGUGGUGAUGGUGGUGGGAGAUAGUGGUGACUGGCAUUGCCAUAUCUCUGGCAUCUGUAAACAUGAACGUUUAUCAGCCUGGAAAAAGAGUCUAGCAAGUUGGUCGUGCCAUAUUAUUUGUGAUCAACUUAGGCAAAUCGUAGAUGAUUAGUCUCUCCAAGUUAGGAAAUCCGACCUACAUACACACACACACACACACACACACACACACACACACACACACACACAUUAAUCUUUUUUAGUGCGAUAGAUUAAUCGGAAAUAAAUGCAUAAACAAAGAGAAAUGCAUGAGUAAUAAACAUUUUCAUCGAAAAGAAAAUAUUGCACAGCAGUCUCAAGAUUCUCCUUCCAAUCCUUCUCUUCAGUUUCUUUGUGUUUUGUAAUACUUUCACUCUUACCAUCAAAUAUGAAUGCCCUCAGUUUAAGACAAUCUUCAAAGCGGAUCGUUCAAUAUGUGUAACUUCCUGAGCAGAAUCUAGCGGGAGAUGUUGCAGUUGUAGAUGUUUUAGCUUGCAAAACCUGUUAUCCAUAUUUACGUCACCAUAUUAUUCGUUUGCUACAAUCUCUUCCAUUUUUUGACAUUUGGAUUCCUCAAGACGUUUGAGUUGUACAGAACAGCUAGCCAUGGAACAUGAAAACAAGAAUCUUAAACCAUCAAGCUUGUUAAGUUGGGGCAUCAGAACCAGCUGUAUAUAAUGCACAAUAUAAGUGUAAUUAGCAAGAAUGACAAUUUUCAUGGUUAUUAAUUAGUUGUAUUUAUUCCAAAAUGUAUAGACAAGAAAAGAUGAGUAGACAUAAAGUAAAGGUCUAAUAUGAAACAACUAGUAACCCAUUGUUAGUAUGCGUUUUGUUCUUCCUUCUUUGGUUAACCAAACCAUAUAAUCAUACAUUAUCCUUUAAGCAGAUUAUUUUCUCUAUAAGCUGAGCUACCAUUUUGUUAGAGGUUUUUAUCACAAAUAAUCCCAUAAAUUGACCUCACUCUUCACUUUGGUCUCUGAAAUUGAAAAUCGAUCAAUGUUGUCCCUGAAAUUUUGUACCACAAAUCAUUGUCAUCCCUAGUGUCCCAUUCCAUUAAUUUUUCAGUUACCUUCAUGAUUUUAAAUCUCAUCAUUUUAAAAAAAAAAAGUUUAGUCCAUGUGGCACCACACCAUUGGUUGUAUGGGUCUACAUGUUUGACACCUCAUCAAAGUAACAUAAAAUAAAUGGAAUGAGACGGUAUGAAUGACAUUGAUUUGUGGUACCAAAUUUCAAGGAAGACAUUGAUCGAUUUUCAAUUUUAGGGACUAAAGUGAGGAGUGAGGUCAAUUUCAAGAACAAUUUGUGAUAAAAACCCUUUUGUUAACAGAAAUCCAUGUUCAUGAAAAGAAUAGAUCAUACUUCCCCAAUUCAUGAAAACUUUCGUAGCCCUGCAAAUUACAUUCUCCAUAAUGUUUUCUCCGGCUUCUGUAUAUGUAGUUGCUUCUGAGUCCGUGCAGUUACAACAGAGGUGCUGCGGUUGGAGGAGAAACCAAUAAACUUCGGUAGAUUCCACCACAUCAAAGACCGUUGUUUUUAAAAGGCUAAUUUAUGAGAUGACCGCAACAUACACUUUCCAAACUACACAUGGUUGUGAAGAGAGUGACGCCAAGUUUGGAAAGUCAUUAUGAGAAUAUCUCCAUCUACUCAAGUUAAUGAAUAUGUAACUUGAUCAUUGUUUUGGGCAUGGAGAUGCUUCAGUUGUUUAACACCGUCCAUGUCCAAUAAAUGGGAAAUAGUAUUUACACCCCCCUUCCCAUCCAAGUGCAAAUGCUCAGAUCUCUUUAGCAGCAAUUUUAUACCUUGAUCGAAUUGAUUCUUCGUAUUUAGCUUGAGUUUUAGCAUGUUAGAGAAGGUUCAUUAGACAUCAGAAUAUAACCACCAAUCACCAACAAAGAUGGUGUGCCUUUCCAAAUUAUCUGAGAACAAGUUUUUCGGAGAAGGUUAGCAUCCAGAACAUAUAUAUCUAAUGCAGUUAGCUGAGACAAAUGCUUCAGCUCUGAAACACUAACAUUAUGUCUUCCAUCGAUCGGACAUUCACCCUCCCAUUGCUCAAAGCUGUUUAUUCCCAUUCUCAAGUCUGCUAACGUUAGGUGAAAUCAGUCCAAGUUCCGAGCAACCACUCAAAUCUAACAAUCGUAUAUGAGUCAGUUCCCCUAUUUCAUUGGGCAACUCCUUAACCUGGGAGUGUGCAUGGCUAAGAACUUUCCAAGUUUCUUAGCUCUCCAACUAGAGCUAUAUCCCCCAACACGCAUUGAUCUAAGCACAAUGUUUGAGGAAUUGUUAGGUAUUUAGGAGAAGGAGGUAAUGAUGGAAAAUAAAGCACAGUUAAAUCCAACACUUCGAGCUUUUUCAUCUCUUCAAAAAAAUUGCAAGGGAUUGAUUUCUAGCGAGCCAUCACUACUCCCUAAGUAAAAUAUUUUCAGUUCUGAGCAUUCCCAAGGUACUUGGGGAAGCGUGGGUAUGGACAGUGUACAGUAACGGAGAGAGACCCAUAUCAUAGAGGACUCUUUAAACAAAUCCAUAUAUAGCUGUCCAUUCUUUCAACUCCGCAUAUGUUAAACAAUCCGGACAGCAACAUCUCGUACAAGCUCGUGCAUCCUAGCACUGAUCAUCAUAACCGUCUUUGAAUCAACAAAUGAAAUGCAUUUCGUGCCUCUUCCACAGUAUCGAAAUUUUUAACCGACUCUAAACCUAUAAAUAUAAUGAAUUAAAAUGUGUAUAAAAAUAAAUAAUUUUAAUUUUAAUGUAAUGACAUAAAAUAAGAUAUCUAUUAAAUAAACAACAACAACAACAAAGCCUUUUCCCACUAAGUAGGGUCGGCUAUAUGAAUCCUAGAAUGUCAUUGCGCUCGGUUAUGUGUCAUGUCUUCUGUUAGAUCUAAGUACUAUAAAUCUUUUCUUAGAGUCUCUCCCAAAUUCUUCCUAAGUCUUCCUCUACCCCUUCGGUCUUGAACAUCUGUUCCAUAAUCGCAUCUUCUAACCGGAGCGUCAGUAGGCCUUCGUUUCACAUGUCCAAACCACCUUAACCGAUUUUCUCUCAUCAUUCCUUCAAUUUCGGUUACUUUACCUCGGAUAUCCUCAUUCUUAAUCUUAUUAAAUACUAAAACAAAAAUAUAAUAUAAUAUAAACUUGAAUUAAGUACACAUUAGAGGAUCAAAAUCAAUAUCCAAUCUUACACCAUAUUUUUAUUGAAUUUUAAUUUUCUUCAAGGAUUAAAGUUAAAAAACUCCUAAAAGAAAACAAGUGAAGGUAUAAUUCACCUUUUCAGCUAAGAGCUCAAAAUUCUCUGAGUCGAUCUCUCUUUUUUCUUUGUUGAUUGUAAUGUUUUCACUCUUACCAUCAAAGAUGAAUGUCACCAUUUUAGUACAAUCGUCUAGAUACAAAUACUCCAAAGACAAAAAUUCAAUGUAACUUCCUGAGUUGAAUCUAGUGAGGUUCGGAAGAUUUGCCCAAAUACACCUUAAAUGUUAUAAACUUCGUUUAAAAUAAGAGGUAUGCUAUCUACACACUCCAUUUUACUUCUCACACACUCCUUGAUAAUUUCUGUUUGUUGAUCUUUUUCAAUUCAUCCAAUCCGACGACCAAAAAUUAAAAAGGUGUGUGAGAAGUAAAAUGGGGUGUGUGGAUAUCACACCCCUAAAAUAAAUGCAUUACGAAAUGUCUCCAAUCCCUUCGAAUUCCUCAAUUUUUAAAAUUCUUUAAAAUUAGUUCUUAAUUUCAUUCACCAUGAAUGUUAUAAACUUCUUUAAAACCUUAAUUAAAUAUACCCAUAUUUUUAUGAAUGAAUGAGGAUCCUUACAAGAUCCUCUUUGUGAGGAUCUUGAAGAUCAUUAAAUCGUGUCCAUUCAUCGUACAUGCAGUCAAAAAUUAUUUUAAAUAUUUUUAUUUAAAAUUAAACAUGAACAAUACUUGACAAAAACUGAUCACACGAUAUACGAUAAACAAACACGAUUUAAGGAUCCCAAGAUUCUCACAAAGAAAAUCUGAAGAGAAUCCGCAGUUUUUAAGAAUUUUAAUAAACCGUCUUAAAAUUUUGACAUAAAUAUUAAAUGGGGUAAAUUACAUAAUACCCCAUCAGGUUUGAAGUCUAUUACAACCCAAUACAACAUCUUUAAAACAUUUCACUUUCAUACCUCACGUACUAUUUUAUUUCAAAAUAAUACCUCUGUUAGAUUUUCCAUCCAUUUGUCUGUUAAAUGCUGACGUGGUUACCACGUUUGUGCUGAUGUGGCUGCCACAUGGCAAAAAAAAAUUUAUACAUUAAAAAUAUUAUAAUACUAACCCUAUUAAAAAAAUAAAAACAAGAAAAACCCAAACCUAGAAAUCCUUCCCCGCAACCCCACAUCCUACCCUUACCCCCUUACCCAUCUCUUCUUUCCCGUCCGUCCAUCCCCUCCACCCUUCCAUCCAUCCCCUCCACCCGAGCACCCCUCAGCGUGGGUCCCACCUUGACCCCUUUCUUUCUUUCUUUCUUUCUCUCUCUCUCUCUCUCUCUCUCUCUCUCUCUCUCUCUCUCUCUCCUUUGUAAAAUGUGGAAUUUGAGAUGCGGGUGUGGUUUUUGAGGUCUAGUGCCUCUCCUACACCGUCCUCCCAACCACUUCACCUACACCGUCCUCCACCAAGUGACUCGGUCAUUCUCUCUGACGCUCAGCCUGGGCCAAGGCGGCUUCAGGUCUAUGUUCUUCACCAUUAUCCCACACACCCGCCAAAUCUCUCUUUUUAGCCUCCAAGCUCGAUUCUCCGCUUGUCGUCUCGGUGCUCGGAUUCUCCUCCGACCCAAAACAGUGCUCGGAUUCUCCUCCACCGCCACCGCUGCCCACCUCCGAAGCCUCUUCGUCGAAUUUGACUUUUUCGACGGCCUGGGCAUGACUCUCUACGGGUUUGGGGGUUAGGUUAUUAGGGUUUCGGAAUGGGGAUUUUGUAAAUGGGUCGGUUGAUAGGUAGAAUUAGGUAUGGAAGUGCUUCAAUGGGGAUGAACUGCGGGCUGAGCGGUGGAUUUUGUAAAUGGGAGUUGCAGAGAGGUGAGGGGCAAAGAAGGGGAUCUGGGUUCGGGUUUUUCUGGUUUUUUUUUUAAAAAAUAGGGUUAAUAUUAUAAUAUUUUUAAUGUAUAAAAAAAAAAAAAAUUGCCACGUGGCAGCCACAUCAGCACAAAUGUGGCAGCCACGUUAGCAUUUAACAGACCAAUGGAUGGAAAAUCUAACAGAGGUAUUAUUUUGAAAUAAAAUAGUACAUGAGGUAUGAAAGUGAAAUGUUUUAAAAUGUUGUAUGGGGUUGUAAUAGACCUCAAACUGAUGGGGUAUUAUGUAAUUUACCCGUAUUAAAUGCCAUCGAGAAUCUAAUGCUCCCCUUUGAUUUCUUUUUCAACCAGACCAAAGAAGAUGAACGAUCCAUAACCUCAGACAGAAGAGGAACGUUUGGUUAUAUUCUGUUUUGUUGUUGGUUUCCCUUGGCUGCACCAGUGUCAGUACAACUCGGCGGCUCCUCCCUCUAGUCUAUGUUGUCGGCAUCCUGGCUCCGCCCUCCACCCACCUUUUGUGCUUCCUCCGGCAACUGCAAGUUCUUAUUCACUUGUUCUUUUUCUUCUUUUCUUUUUUCUUGUAAAUUAAUUUAGGGUAAAUUACAUAAUACCCCUUCAGGUUUGAGGUCUGUUACAACCCCAUACAACAUCUUUAAAACAUUUCACUUUCAUACAUUUACUUAUCAUUUUAUUUCAAUUUCAUACAACCAUUAAAAAAUAUGUUAAAUUAACCGUUAAGUGAUGACGUGGCAAAUAUGAGUUCCCCAUUUGUGAUGACGUGGCUUCCACAUGUGUGCCACGUGGCUAAACAAUUAAUAAAAAAUCUAAAAUAUUAAAAUAAUUAACUAAAAAAGGUUAUAUUAAAAAAAAAAAAAAAAACUAGAAGUUGCCUUCCCCACCCAUCCCUUCCCCUUCCCUCCAACCCUCCCCACCCCCACCCCCCCAACCCACUCCUCUCCUCCACUCUCUUCAUCUCCGAUCCCUUCUCCUUCCCCACAAACCCCCCCACCCCACCCCACCUAGAUACCCAUAUUUGUUCUUAAAAAAUUAAAAAAUAAAAAAUAAAAAAAACUAGAAGUCGUCUUCCCCACCCAUCCCUUCCCCUUCCCCACAACCCCCCUACCCCUACCCCCCCCAGCCCACCCCUCUCCUCCACUCUCUUCACCUCCCCCAGCCGAUCCCUUCUCCUUCCCCACAACCCCCCCCCACCCCACCCCACCCCACCCCACCCCACCUAUAUACCUAGGGGUGGAAAAAAAUACCGAAAAUCCCAAACCAUACCGAAAAAAUCCCGAAACCGAACCGAAAAAAUCCCAAAAAUUUUGGUACCAAUCCCGACCUUUCGGUACAGGAAUUGGUUUCACAAUCUUAUUUUUUCUAUAUUCCCAAACCAAACCGAAGUUAACAUAUAUAUAGUUUUAGAUAUUAUAAGCCGUUGGAUUGGUUGAGAAUUAAUCUCAGCUGUUCAUUCAAAAUGAUACCCAACCUCACCUUCACCUUUGCUCUCUGACCUCUCCGCCAAACUCUCUGACCUCACCCCACCUCACCUCACCUUCACUUCCUUCCCUCCCUACUCCUAUACUCCUUUCAGUUUAGAGUUCAAACCCACAAAUAUCUCUCUCUCUCUCUCUCUUUCUCUCGACCUCCACUCUUUCACUCUCUAACCCUUACCUUCACACUACAUCCGGACUCCAGCCUUCCAUUUUCUUUUUGCAUUUGGCAACUUCUUCUGCAUUCGAUAAUCAAUAUAGCCACCUCUGCUUCCUUCUACUUCUCUCUUCAUUAAGGUAAUAUUCUUGUCUUCAUCUAGUCAUCUUGAUGUGGUAAAAUAUGUUUGUGGCUUUAAUUCGUUUUUAAUUUGGGCAUUUGAAUUCUAGGGUUUUGGAUUUGGGGGUUUUCAAUUUCGUUUGAAAUUUGGAGUUUUUAAUCAUAUGGUUCUUAUAUAAUUCGUUUAUUUCCUCCUUGAAGCUAGCAGACCUGAGCUCCUUUGCCUCCUCCUCGAACUCUCUCCAUGAAAUAGGGACUUGCAUGUUAUCAAGCCCUGUAGUCGAAGAGAAAAUGUGCAAAUGUUUAUUGUUUCAGAAAUCGUUUUGCACAAGUGUUUGUGUUCUGCAAUCUUCAUUGAAUCUAGCACUCUUCUUCAAUAGUUUGUACUUUAAUGAUAGCAGCUGCAAUUUGUGUUUCUAACAAUAUUGCUAGCAAGGCCAGUUUAAUAAUAAAUUCAUUUUUUUAUCAGUUCACAGUAUUAAUUUUGGGAAUUUUUAACCACGAAGCCUUCAUAAAACAUGGUGGAUUAGAUUUGUUUUAUUAGCAAGAUACCAUCCAUAUUUAAAUUAUGUGUUUCUUACAGUUCCCUCUCUUUCUUUACAGGCAUGAGAGAAUUUAGGCCAAUGAGUUACGAUUGUUUUGACGCAUGAGCCCAAAACUAUUUCGGGAUUGCCGAUUUGUCCCGAAAUCCCAAAACUAUUUCGGGAUUCCCGAAAAUUUGGUUUGGGAUCGGUCUUGAAAUUGGAAUUCCCGAAAACUUCGGUUUGGGAAUCAGGACAAGGUUUUCGGUAUGGGAUCCCAUACUGAACUAGCCCUAUAUAUACCCAUAUUUGUUCUUUAAAAAAAAAACACAAAAAACUAGAAACCCAAAUUUCUUCUUCCUCUUCCUCACCCAUCACCCUUCUCCUAUCCAUCAUCACCCACCCCCAAAAGUCCCACCCGAGCACACCCCCUUCUCCUAUCCCCAUCACCCCCCCCCCCCAAAAAUCCCCCAUCACCCAUUUCAAAAAUCCCACCCGAGCCCACCCCCUCCGUCCAAGCUCUUGCGUUUUCUGUGGGAGUGGAGACCGCCGAUGAAUGUCUCUACGAAUUGAUCGGCGAUAGGAAAAGGAAGAAGAAAAGAGAGGAGUGCAUGAUAUUAGGGUUAGGGUUUGAGGCUUUGCAGAGAAGCUCAUCUUUGAGAGAGAGAUGAGAGAGAGAAGAAGAAAAGCGGAGGAAGAAGCUAUCAGAAAUGGUGAUGAGGAGAGGACUGAGAAGGGGAUUUUUGGGAGGGGUGAUGGGGGAUGGGAGAAGGGGGUGGGCUCGGGUGGGAUUUUUUAGGGUGGGUGAUAGUAGAUGGGAGAGAGAGGUGAUGGGUGGGGAAGACAACUUCUGGUUUUUUUUUCUUUAUUUUUAUUUUUUUAAUAUAACUUUUUUUAGUUAAUUAUUUUAAUAUUUUAAAAAUUUUAUUAAUUAUUUAGCCACGUCAUCACAAAUAGAGACCCCAUAUUUGCCAUAUCACUUAACAGUUAAUUUAACAGAUUUUUUAACGGUUGUAUGAAAUUGAAAUAAAAUGAUAAGUAAAUGUAUGAAAGUGAAAUGUUUUAAAGAUAUUGUAUGGGGUUCUAAUAGACCUCAAACCUGAGGGGGUACUAUGUAAUUUACCCAUUAGUUUAUAGGAAAACUAAUGAAAAUAACUUGAAAACUUUGAGUUUUAACGAUAAGAACAAAAUAAAUGGUAAAGUGAAUAGUACCAGGAUUGACUUUUUAGUGUAAAAAUAUGAUUUUUUGUUAAAGUGAAAAGUACCGAACUUUUCAUUAAAGUUCCCAUAAUUUAUAAGAUUGUUUCUGAAUUCUGAUAUUGUGAUUUUAGAUUUGAGAAUCAAUGUUGAUGGGUUUUUAGUUGAUAGAUUUUUUUAGGGAUUUUGGGAUUUCAAUAAAUGCCCUGUUUCUAAUUUCACAUAAUUCCUAACUUUUGAGGGAUUUAAAGGUUCGGUUGAGUUAAUAGUAAAGAUGGGAGUUUUGAAUAAUUUCACUUAGGGCUGGUUUGGUAUUGCUGUGCUUUGAAAAAAAACUGCUGUGAGAAUAAGCGGCUGUGCUGUGAAAAUAAGCGGCUGUGAAAUAAAUCAGCUGACUGUUUGGUAAACUUUUUUGUAAAAGUGCUUUUAAAAAAAAAAACAGUCUGACAGUGUGUCUUUUUAUUAAAGGAGCACUAUAGCUCCGUGUGCUUUGAAAAAAAAAUCAGUUUUCAAAGCUGAAAAUAGCAGCUUCAGCUUUUUCCUUUGAUUUCAGCUUAUUCUCACAGCAGCUUCCAAAAUAAGCCAUUUUUUUUCAGUUUACAAAACAUCUAAAACCUUCACAGCUUUUUUUCAUAGGUGUUUUUUUUUUUAAGCACCUCGCUCUCAAACCAUCCUUAAACGUCUAAUUUCAAAUUUCUGAAGCGCUCCGGCCGAAUUGAGCUUCCUGCCUGGACCGACAUUGUGAAGACGGCCACAUUCAAGGAGCUUGCAGCAUAUGAGCCUGAUUGGUACUACAUUAGAUCUGCAUCCAUGGCAAGGAAAAUCUACUUGAGGGGUGGUCUUGGUGUUGGUGCCUUCCGCAGGAUCUAUGGAGGGAGCAAGAGGAACUGAAGGGAAACAGAGAAGUAUGCAACCCUUUUUGCUUUGCUUUUUCUUUUUUUACUAAGCUUCUUCUGGACACAACUGCAUAGUCGAAGAAAAAGUCGGGUUAUACAGCACUUGCAAAGUAGAAAUUAUGCUAUGAAACGGAUGUUUCUUGAUCAUCAAACAACAAAGACUAAAAAAAAAUGAUGAACGACUUUCUGAAAACAAUUUUUAUAAUCCAAAAAUUUGCUUGGUAUCGAGCCUAGAAACAUGCAAACAUGUAUGAUUUGCUUUGAAUUUCACUGAGACAUUUUAACAAACAUCAUACCUGCACACUUUGAGCCCAGCAGAAAAUGAAAUGAAGAUCAAUUCGCUCGUUGAGUGUCUAGUGCCCAUAUCUAAAAUGUCAAAAACUAGUAAAUUUGUGUUUGGUAGUAAAGCUUUUGUAAUAUAAAUUUUAAGAUAGUAACAAUGGGGGUGGCGAUGGUGUUUGCGGCUAGAGUGGUGUUGGUGGUGGUGAUGGUGGCGUUGGUGUUUGCGGCUAGAGUGGUGUUGGUGGUGGUGAUGGUGGCGUUGGUGGUGGGAGAUAGUGGUGACUGGCAUUGCCAUAUCUCCAAGGUGUCUAGAUUAUUCAAUCUUCCCAUAAAGAAAGAGAAAUGCAUGAAUAACAUACCUUUUCUUCGAAAAGAAAAUAUUGUACGGCAGUCUCAAGAUUCUUCUUCCAUCCCUUCUCUUCAGUUUCUUUGUGUUUUGUAAUACUUUCACUCUUACCAUCAAAUAUGAAUGCCCUCAGUUUAAGACAAUCUUCUAGAUGCAACAGCUGCAAAGACGGAAGUUCAAUAAAUAUAACUUCCUGAGCAGAAUCUGGCAGGAGAUAUUGCAGUUGUAGAUGUUUUAGCUUGCAAAACCUGUUAUCCAUAUUUGCAUCACUAUAUUCUUCAUUUGCUACAAUCUCUUCCAUUUUCUGAAUUUGGAUACCUCAAGAUGUUUGAGUUGUACAAGACUUCUAGCCAUGGAACAAAAAUCUAAAACCAUCAAAGUUCCGUAAGCCUGGCAGUUUCAUUCACCAUAAUGAUUUCUUCGGCUUUUGUAUAUGUUGUUAGUUGUUUUUUAAUCCUUGCAGUUACAACAGAGGUGCUGCGGUUGGAGAGAAACCAAUAAACUUUGGUAGAUUCCACAACAUCAGAGAUGGUAAUUUUCAAAACUAACAAGGUUAUAAAGAGAUAGUGACUCCAAAUUUGGAAAGAUAUAGCCAACAGUCACCAACAUGGAUGGUGUAGCUUUUCAACUUAUCCGACAACAAGUUGUUCGGAAGAAGGUUAGCAUCUGGAACGUGUAUGUUUAAUGCAGUUAGCUGAGACAAGUGCUUCAGCAUCAGGAACAUUAUUUCUUCCAUCGAUCAGACCUUCCACCCUCCCAUUGCUCAAUGCUGUUUAUUCCCAUUCUCAAGUCUUCUAGUCUUUUCAAGCUUGAUGAAACAUUAGGUGGAAUCAGUACAAUCUCAGAGAAACCACUCAAAUCUAAUUGUAGACGAGUCAGUUGCUCUGUUUCAUCAUGCAACUCUUUAACCUGGGAGUGGGCAAGGCAAGGCUAAGAAUUUUCAAGUUUCUUAGCUCUCCAACUAGAACAAUAUCCCCCAACACGCACUGAUCUAAGCACAAUGUUUGAAGAAUUGGUAGGUAUUUAAGAGAUGGAGAUAAUGAUGGAAAAUGAAGCACAGUUAAAUCCAACACUUUGAGCUCUUUCAUCUCUCCACGAUUCUUCUUCGCAAAGUCAAGCUGAAAAUCUUUUUGGGUAUGCAUCUCAUAUACACAUUUCGCUCUCUAGAUGUCAAAAGUAAAUUACAAGUCGGUGCCCGGCGAAGUCCCACAAGGUCCAAAUGAAUUCUUCCCAAAACAUCAUCUAAAAUAACAAGUGUUCUUGUCUUUUAUCCUGUCCCAUAAACAAUUUACCCUUCUCUCAGAUUCAUCAAUGUGCAUACCGAACUUUUCUGCAAUUUGUUUCUGAAUUUUCUCCAGGUCUUCUUUUUCAUUGACAUUCAGUAUUAUAACCACAUCAUCCUAUAACUUAUCUUGUGCAGCUUGUCUGAAAACCUGUUUGGCAUCAAAUUAAAGGACAAAUGGAGCAUGAGUUCAAGUGACUCCUUAGGUUUGAAGGUUGCUUUUGUAGUGAAUCAGGUAUCCCACUUGACGUCCAACUGGAACAACUGUGUACUCAAUUAUUUUUCCAACGACCUUGGGAAUAAAUGAAGGUAAGACAAAACAACAUGCCACUUUCAGUUUAGUAAUAUAUCUGUUGAACAUAAACGAAGCCAAAAACAUGGAAAAAGAUCUAGAAAUUUAUGCAACAAAAUAAAAUGAAAAAUGGAAAGACAAGAAUAAAAUGUGAUUGACAUUGAAUAAUGAAACAAAAGACAUACCUUAGCUCGUGAGAGGGAGACGAACGGCAAAGAAGAAGAGACUAUGUAACUUGUGAGAGUGAGAGUAACGGCAAAGUAAAAGCAAAGUGAAGGUGAACGACAACAGAAAUUGCAAAGUUGUGUUGUGAAAUGAAAUUAGAGGACAAAUGAAGAUAAGUGAAAUAAGUGUGGUUUACCGUAUUAAAACGAAGUCGGAUGAGUUGCUAUUCAAUAAUACGGUCUAGUUGUAUUUUUCUUCAUUUGUAAGCAAGGAGUCUUAGAUUCUAACUUCGUGAAUGAUGAUUGAUAAGUUUGAUACCAAUUUAUUCUUACCACCUUUAGUUAAUCUCUUUAUGGCCCGAUAUUAUUUUUAGUGAUGCUCAAUAUCCAUCUCAUUCUGCACCCCAAGUCCACUGUGAGAUAACUUGCAUAAGAAUCUUUUUUCUUCAAGCUCUCAAAAUUACUCCUUCCCUCCAUUGUAGAAAGAUGGCAAUGGUCGAGAUUUAACAAAGAGAGGUUUACGAUUCUCCAAUGAUGUUUUUUUAUAGGUUUGAUCAUGUAUAUGAGCAUUUGAUAGUGAAUACAUGUAUAGUGCUUCACAAUUGAAAAGAAGUGGAAUCUUAGUUUCAGGUAAUUACCGAGAUUUUUGUUGAUCCCCUUUUGUUGUGCUGCCAAUUUUGAGUUCCUAUCAUGUAAAUUGGUUGACUAAAAUGUUAGUGUAUGCAAAAAGGUUGUUGAUGCUGAUGGUUUUUUUCUGUAACUGAUUUAAGAGUUGCUAUUGUAUUCUUAGCAUAAACGUCAGACUGCCAAUGACAUCCUUUUGUUUUCUAUAGCUGCCAGUGUCUAAACCUCCAACAAAAUGGGAAACUUUUGCCAAAACAAAAGGUAAAUCAUUACUGUAGGAGUCGAACAGUACCUUUCUUCUAUUUCUUUUAAGGCUCUAUUUUGGUUUCUCAUAUGUGGCCAUUUGGGCAUUGAGAGCUGUAGUUGGAUUUAAGAUUUUGAGAAAUUGGAAUAUCCUUUAGGAAAAUGACGCAAUUUGGGAUUGGACCUGUCAAGUUGUUAUAUGAAAAGUCAUAGGUAUCCACACUCACCAUUUUCAGAAUUGUUGUAGGGAUUUCCCUUGAGAGAUGGUUGUGUGAGACACUGAGAACCUAUAAAUUUGUGAGAUGUUCCAAGUCUGAAGGUAUCACUCUGGAGAGAGAAUUGCUGGGUCCAAGUUGUAACUCUGGAGUAAUUUACCAAUCUGUGCCGGUAUGUCACCAGUCAAGUGGAUCUGGCUCAAGUUUAGAAGCUGCUGUUUUGUCAUUUGUCCGAGCUCAGGUGGGAUUGGACCUGUAAUUUUAUCAACCCAUACGCAUUUUCCCCACUGUGGUCAGAGUGUACCAACAAACUGGAUCUCAUCAAGAGCAAUGAAUUCAAGAAUGAAUUGAAAUAUAGAAAAACUAACGAAAAGUCCAAAAAAACUUCUCUUUUAACGAAAAACCAUUUUUAAAUGUAUAAUGAAUAGUGCUAGUUAAAGGGAAAAAUGUGGUUUUUCGUUAAAAAUGAACAGUACCGGGAGUAUUUUGUUAAAUCUCCCUUGAAAUAUUCAGUGAGCUUUUAUGCGCAUUUCUGGUUUAGUCCAUUAUUUUAAUACAUAUACAAUAUUUAUAAUUCAUUUGACAUUCCCGAGGCAACGCGUGGGCUAAAACUACAGUAACUACGAGUCCUCUCUACAUUCUAGUCCUCAAUGGAGAUGCUCUUAAGAAGAUGAUUGGAAAUGAUAUUUUUCAUGUAUCACAAGAAGCAAUAAAAUGAGUACCAAUUCAAGGAUAAAGCUGUUUCAGUAGACGUGCACACAAGCACCACUUCAAAUGCAUCAAUGUUAACAUAAAUCACACAAGCUUUAUUUCCCAAACACCAAAACUGAAAGUGUAGCGAACAAAGCUUCAAAUACAAAUCACACUUUUACGAUGAAACACGAGUCAAAACAAGCAUAACAUGACAUGGAAUAUGCAUCAGUGCCUUCCCAAAUUGCACAAGUUUCUGGGACAGCUUUCCAUUGAGGCCGCAGCUUGCAUGCUUAUAUUAAACAAGAUGAGAUCAGCCAGGGAAGCAAGGUUGGGCACAGACCGUCGAGGGGAGAACAGAGAAUAGUUAGAGUAAGUAACAAGAAAACUUGAGUAUAAUGAAAGUAGCAACCACAAUAACGCCAAAGCCAAGAAAGCGUGCAUCCUCUAGGAUCUCCAAUGCGUAUUUCCUUUGACUCCAAGUAGCAUAGUUUUAACCAUUAAAAAUUUGAACAAUCCAAUGUGAUUUCCGUGGAAUGUGUAGUGUGGUCCAACAUAUCAGAGUGCCUUCCAGUCUGCUCUCCAGGCUGAUAUUUCUUCCUUUAAAAAAAAAAACAGAAGGAAGAGGAAAAUAACACACAAACAUGCAAUCGCACACAAUCGGAAAACCUUAACACGCCAGGCAAAAGAUGAGGAUUCCUUUUUGGCAGAGUCUUGCAAUUGUAACAUCUACAUUUGAAUCCGUGAUCACCAGCUGCUCCUGUAGAAAUAUAUAUUUAGUGGACAAUUAUAAAUAAACACAUAAACUAUUCAGUAUGAAUUCUGACUGAACAACUAUGAAUAAGAUGAAUAAAUCAAACUUUAAAAUUUGACUUCAAGGUUCGGAAAAAGCUGAAAAAUUGGAGAGUGAAAUUAACAGAUGCUUAAUUAGUGAAUGAAGAACUUACGGUUUGAUCACGUUCAUUCUCCUUUGAAUCACUUAGCUUUUGUACAUCAUCAGUUUCCUCUGCUAUUUGUAGUCUUUCUGGUCUUGGAUCACUUUGGAGUAACCCAUCAAGAGAAAUCGUUAACUCAAUCAACGGGCACUUCUCGACAAUCAAAUUGUUGGACGGUAAGGAUGGGACCUUGAAAAUGUAAUUUCCAGUGCAAAAUCCUUGCAGACUUGGUAGAUCAAAAAGUUUCAAAUGUUGCAAGCAACUGAAAGUAAUCUCAUUUUCUGGAUCAUCUCUGUUGCUCACUACUAUUUCAACCAUUCUUUCACAGGACUCAACUUCGAACUCCUUGAGUUGCUGCAAAUUCUUAGCCACAGAAUAAGGUAUUAAGUAUUGCAGUCCAUGACAAUACCGUAUGGUCAAACUGGUUAGAUUCCGAAAGGAUAUCAAAGUUGAAGCUAGAUUCUCUAAUCUGCCACAUUUUUGCAGACAUAGAAUUUCCAAGUUUGGAAAAACAGGACAGGGACCCCUGGUUCGGAGUUUUUCCAUUCCUAGAUGUAUCAGCUCCGGCAUAUCGAUGAGCCACAAAGUCUUUACACGUGGGAAGGUCUCAGCUUCAUGUAUUUCCCCGCUACUACUUCCUUGGUGGUUGUGGACAAUUAAUUCUUUCCAAGGAGCAGAGAGAACACCGAGGUUUUCAAUAUUCUGUAAAUUCUCAAAGAAAACAUCUGACUUGGGAUGUGAAGUAGCAAAAUAAAUCGAUUUUAUUUUGCUUAACAACUCUGCCGGAAGUGGACCAUACGGCUCAUACCAAAUCUCUGUGUUCUCGUCCAACAUCAAGUAUUCCAAGUUGAUGAAUGACUUACCCUAAAAUAUAAUCAACAGUAAUGACAUGCUUUAAAAUAUUUUGAAAAAUUGGACACCACAUAAUAACUUUAAUAUUAAAAACUUAAUAAAUAUAUUUACUUGAUGUGUUUGUUUAACUAGUAUGUAAAAAUCACACAAAAUUCGAAUAUCAAAAGAAUUGUGUUGGUUACCUUCUCAAUUAAAAAGAAAGGCUGUUUCAUUGGUGUCGGAUGGCCCAACUCAAGUUUGUCUUGAUAUGUUGAAGAUUCAGAAGCAAAAAUCUCCACAUUAGCACAUUUCUUGAAAUUUAAUGUAUUGAGUAAUGGCCAAUUAUAAACAUGCAGCCCUGGAUAGAAACUCCGUAGUUGAGGUAGAUCUUCAAACAUCAUACAUGUUACUUUAGAGAAUUCAAAACAGUUCAACUGAGUGGUAGAUGAUGUGUCAUAUACCACUUGUAGUGACUGGCACUGCUUUAUUUGUAAUGUCUCUAGAGCAUUUAAUCUUCCCAUGAUACUUGGCCCAAAGAUAUUAAUCAGACUGUGGCAUCUACGAACAUCCAUAAUUCUGAGCUUGCUAAAAGAAUCUGAAUGAAGUUGGUUGUGGAAUAUUGUCUUCAACUUAGGUAAGUCCCAUAUGUACAACGUAUCCAAGCUAGGAAAUCCUACCUGUCACAUAUUCAUUUAGAAUUUGUGAACAAACCUUUUUUCACAAGAGUGGGACACAUGCAUAAGUUGGAAACAAAAGCUUAAAGAAACAAGUGAAGGUAUAAUUCACCUUUUCAUCAAAGAGCUCAAUAUCUCUUUCUUCUUUGUUGGUUGUAAUAUUUUCACUCUUAGCAUCAAAGAUGAAAGUCUCCAGUUUAGUACAAUCGUCUAGAUCCAAAUACGCCAAAGAUGGAAAUUUAAUGUAACUUCCUGAGCUAAAUCUAGUGAGAUUUGGAAGAUGUUGUAACUCUAGACGGUUUAGCUUAUCAAACAUAUCAUCUGUAUUCUCCUCAUUUCUCACUAUCUCUUCCAUGAUUUGACAAUUGGAUAUCUUGAGAUUUUUGAAUUGUCUGAGACAUUUAGCCAUGGAACUCGAAAACAAGAAUCUUAAACUAUCACAUUGAUGCACAAUCAAGGUUGUUAAGUUGGGCAUCAUAACCUGCAUAGCACAUAACAGAAUUCAUGUUUGUAUUAGGAAAUUACAAUUUAUAUUAUUGUUAGCCGUAUACAUUCCAAAAUGUGUAGAUAUAAAGUAAAUAUCAUAUAUUUAAAAAGUAAGCUACUAGGCUACUGAACAAAUAUAUGUCCUUGUACCUUCAUUAAUUCGCAAAGAACAAAUUGGAGUAAAAAUUAUCUGGAAAAAUAAAUAUAGGGCCAAAAUUAUGUCAAUUUAAUUUCAAAUUUAAACUAUUUUAUUUUUUACAAAAAAAAACCUAUCUUAUUUAAAUUAAUACCAAAAACACAUUAUUGUGAACGGUCUUUAGUGGCAAGUUGUGAAUUAUCCUGAUAGUUAGAGCGGGUUUCAAAUUUUUUACAGUUAAAAUAAGUAGCCUCUUUAUGACACAUCUCAAUACUUGACACCUGUGCACAAACUUAAACCUAACAUAACCCUAUCAACUCCCAAUAAAAUUAAAUACAAAUAAAAGCAAAAGUUAAGAAAAGAGUAAAUUGUAGCAAUGGUCCCUGAACUUUACUCAAAUUGGAGCAAUGGUCCCUCAACUAAAAAUCCAUUACUAUUGGUCCCUCAACUUAUCAAAAUGUGUAGCUAUAGUCCUUUUCAUUAAUUUCUUCAAAAUUUUGUCAAAAUAUGUUAUGUUGGAAUAACCAUUUACUUAAUUAGGGUCCCUCAACUCAUCAAAGUGUGUAAUUAUGGUCAUUUUCGUCAACUACGUAAAAAAAUUUGUCAAAACGAGUUAUGUUUGAAGGACCAUAGCUACAAUUGGGAUAAAGUUAAGGGACCAUUUCUCCAGUUGAAUUAAAAUUGAGGGACCAAAGGUAAUGGAUUUUUAGUUGAGGGACCAUAGCUGCACGUUUUAAUGAGUUGAAGGACCAAUGGUAAUGAAUUUUUAGUUGAAGGACCAUUGCUCCAAUUUGAGUAAAGUUCAGGGACCAUAGCUACAAUUUACUCGUUAAGAAAAAGAAGCCUUUCAUCCUCCUCUCUCUCACUUCCCCAAACACAAUAGCAGCAAUAUCAAUUGCAUCUCCUUCACACUUUCAAAUUCAAAAACCCAAAAAGCCUAGCCCUUCAAUUUGAUUGCUCCUUCAAAGAAUAUGGGACGACCAAUUUGGGAAGAUUGAAGAAUAAAUCCCUUUUGGCCUGUCAGAUUUGUGAAAAUAAGCGUCUCCCCUGAAAUUUCCUUUGUUGCAAAAUUCGUUGAAUUUAACAUAAAAAUACUAUAGUAAAAGGAUUUUAGUAUUUUUCAUGUCAAAUUUUGGUUAGCAUUAUAAAAAUUUAUAAUAGUUGGUUAUAAUUUAAUUUAUGGUCAAAAUUUUGGCUACUUUUCCAAAUUUCCCAAAUUACUUCCCCCACACCUUUUUAAUUUUUUAAUAUUUUUCUAUCAAGUGUUAGUGGUGUGUCAAAAAUGUUAAAAAGAAAAAAAAUGUGGGACAAGUAAUUUGAGGUGUGAAUAUAAUCUCUCUUGGCGUAUUGAAAAAAUAAAUCUUAAUAUAUCAAGAAUUGGUGGUUUUAAUGAGAAACGCAUCAUAUUCAAGGAUGACAAUCUAAUUAUACUUAAAAAAAUUGUGUACAAGUAUGCUUACCUUGUCAAUUAAAAAGAAAGGCUGUUUCAUUGGUGUUGGGUGUCUCAACUCAAGUUUGUCGUGAUAUGUUGAAAAUUCAGAAGAAAAAAUCUCCACACUACCACAUUCAAUGAAGCUCAAUUCGUUGAGUAAUGGCCAAUUAGAGACAUGCAGUCCAUGAUAGAAACUCCGAAGCCGGGGUAGAUUUUCAAAUAUCACUAUUUCUACUUUAGGGAACCUGAACUCCUCAUGUGUCCUUUUUGGUCCUUCUUCCAUCGUGACAAUUUCCUCCAUUAAACCACAAUUCUCGACCUUGAACUUGCUUAGCUGCUUAAGAUUUUUGGCUACUGAGACGGGAAAUAAAUUCUUCAAACUCUCACAUGAGGAUAUCUCAACUAAAUUUAGAUUCGGGCAAUCAAAAUUGUUCAACUGAGCGGUAGAUGAUGAGUCAUAUACUACUUGUAGUGACUGGCAUUGCUUUAUAUAUAAGGACUCUAGAGCAUUCAAUCUUCCCAUGAUACUUGGCCCAAAGAUAUUAAUCAAAUUGUGGCACCUAUUAACAUCCAUAAUUCUGAGCUUAGCAAAAGAAUCUGAAUGUAGUUGGUUGUGGAAUAUUGUCUUCAAUUUAGGUAAGUCCUGUAUCCACAAUAUCUCCAAGCUAGGAAAUUCUACCUGUCACAUAUUCAUUUUAGAAAGAGUGGGACGCAUGCAUAAGUUGGAAAUGAAAGCAUAAAGAAAAGAAGUUAAGUUAUAAUUCACCUUUUCAUCAAAGAGCUCAAUAUCUCUUUCUUCUUUGUUGGUUGUAAUAUUUUCACUCUUGGCAUCAAAGAUGAAUGUCUCCAGUUUAGUACAAUCGUCUAGAUCCAAAAACACCAAAGAUGGAAAUUUAAUGUAACUUCCUGAGCUGAAUCUAGCAAGGCUUGGAAGAUGUUGUAACUCUAGACGGCUUAGCUUAUCAAACAUAUCAUAUGUAUUCUCCUCAUUUCCGACUAUCUCUUCCAUAAUUUGACAAUUCGAUCUUGAGAUUUUUGAGUUGUCUGAGACAUUUAGCCAUGGAACUCGAAAACAAGAAUCUUAAACUAUCACAUUGAUGCACAGUCAAGGUUGUUAAGUUGGGCAUCAUAACCU
RNAcentral lists this long non-coding RNA (66567 nucleotides) under Malus domestica (apple). Its description in RNAcentral is "long non-coding RNA (MDOM_LNC008779)". The record is from RNAcentral. Lineage: Eukaryota; Viridiplantae; Streptophyta; Magnoliopsida; Rosales; Rosaceae.